RNAcentral lists this long non-coding RNA (74233 nucleotides) under Hordeum vulgare. Its description in RNAcentral is "long non-coding RNA (HVUL_LNC017119)". The record is from RNAcentral. Lineage: Eukaryota; Viridiplantae; Streptophyta; Magnoliopsida; Poales; Poaceae.
AGACAACCAUAACGCCUUUUCUUUCUCUCCUCCCGUCAGAGCGCACACCGCGACGACCCCUCCCGGGACCAGGAGUGCACCCCCCCGGGCCAUCUCGAUGGAGAAACGAGAGUGCUUUGCACGCCGGAACGCCGUCAGAGUACACGCGCCGAGGCCAGGGAAGAGAGCCUCAUCAAUGGUGGUGCUGUGAGAACGGCCACCAUCUCCUCUUCUUCGCCGUGUGCAACCUCGGAGCGUCUGUUACCAAAACCAUAGGAAAGAGAGGGUUUCAGCGAUUAAUAUUUAUUAUCAGGCAGAGAUCGCGGUGUCAGUGUGGAAUGUUGGUUGCAUACGUUUGCGACGGGGACUGGACACGCAUUGCAUGUAUGCCAAUGGCAGGCAGGCAUGCUACUCACCGUUCUGUGGAAAUAUCGAGUUGUAGUGAACCUCCGCCCAAAAGCUCAAUAGCACCACUGAGAUCAAUCGGAAGGAAAACAGUCAGUCAAGCGUAUAGUUAAGUAUCAAGACCAUCCACUUGGAACUGUAAAGAAAAUUAAUCAUCUGCAUACCUUUGUUGGACUUCUGAACCUUGGGUUGGAUCUCGAUGUAGCACGUAUCCUUGAACGAGGUCAUGACGAAAAUCUUCACUCCGUACUGCAGCAGAUUUGUCAAAUUGCGUUAGAAUGAGAUUUAGUAAAGUACAGCCCCGGCCAGCUGUGAUAUAUGUUUAUGCCCAUGAGUGAGACAAAUAUAAGCACCUUGUCAGCAGCAGCCUGUAAAGUCACAUGGUCACCCCAUUCACCAUUUCUGUCAGUUUAUGCACCAAGAUAUUAGUUGGGGCAGCAUUCACAUGUGACUAAUUUGUACUAGCCAUGAACAGUUUUUGACUGUUGAGCUUACCGUGAGACUUUGUCCAAAUACUCAUCAUAUGCCAUGGGGACAUAUCCAUCAUAGGCUUCCCGGUUACUUUUAAGCUGGAAACCGAUUAUUUAUCAGACGAAAGAUGAAAGUGUGAAAACAAAGAACAAAGCUAAGGAUCACGAUUCGCGAAAGAAAGAUUACUAGUGUUGAUUACCUGGCUAAUUAUCUGCUCCCUCACAAACUCAUGGUGGUCCGGAGUUUGGUACAGCUGAUCUGAUAGUGCACGGAACUGUGGAAUUGAGAACGUUAGAUUAGCAUCAAUUGGUUGUGGCUUAUGUACUACAUGGUCUAACAGUAAGUCAUGAAUGAUGGAAUAACUCAGAGAACUGACCCAACUACUGCUGCCACAAUGCAUAUUUGAACAAAAUAAAACUAAGUAUUCAGGUGAGGAUGGCACUAGGUACAAACCUGACAAUUGCCAUCACCCUUCACCUUGUUCUCAGUUAGUUCAUACAGCCUCAACCUACAAAAAUAUACGUGUAAAAAAUACUGAACUAGACCUGGACACUUUAUUUUAGAAAGUUGAGAAGAAACACUAUCAAACUUAUUCUAGUACAUCUGAUCCCUCAUAAAAUUCAAUGUUUCCACGGCAUUUACUAACAAAAGGAACCCAUGAGAAUUGAGAUUUAAGACAGACCUGUCGGACAGCCUUUCAUGGUCCAUGGUGGCUUCGUCAAGUGAUGGAAUUUCACCAUUAAUUUUAGGGACAUGCUGGAGAAGGCAAAACAGAUUGUUUAAUCAUAGUUUGUAAGUGUAAUGGAACUGAAGAUAAUAGCAGAUGCAUAAACGUAUUGGAAAAGAAAAUAAUGCUGAUCAAUCGUGCAAAUAGCAGUUUUAACUUGCAGCCUUUUUCUCAUACUGAAUGUACGAGUAAUAAUUUAUUCCCACAAAACUAUAAGGAAGGCAGUAAUCACAGAUUUGUAUGCAAAACUCUAUAAACUGAACCUGGUAGCCAAGCCACAGUUUUCAUCUGGACAUUGCCAAAAAUUAAACAUGCCAUGGCUUAACACAGAGUUAAGAAUAUCUGAAUUUAAUUCAACUUAAUGUAUUUACAGACUUUUCGAAGAAUUUCGUAUCAUGUUGUCUAUUAAAGCAUGUGGUAUUCACAAUCAGUUUUCCAUUGAGAUUUUAGCUACAUGUGCACAGGUAUUCUGUCAAUUAUCUUACCUACUUUGGCCAUUGCUUAGUAGUUACUUUAGUCAGUGAGCAAACAUGGGACUUAUCAAGCUUCCUUGGAAGCAAAACUUCAUUCACUCUAGAUACUAAGGAGGCAAAUCAAUCUUUGCUAAACAACACAGUUACUGAGGAUUAAUAGACUCACAGGAACUGGGACCAUGGGGUAAAAUCUCUUCUCUACUUCUUCCUCCAUUUCAAAACAGUCGUCGCUGCCAGGGUAUGAAGAGGAACUAGAUGGAUCUACAUAGACUGCCUCAUGCUCCUGCCCACCAACAUUUCCUGGAACAUACAAAAAACAUUAAGAGGGAUAGCAAAAAUACGAAAGGUAAAGGCUGAAUCAGACUAUGGAUAUUUUCACUACCAGGAUGGUACAUGCCUACUUGUGGGUUGUACAUAUCACACGUAAGUGCGGAAGAAUGCAAAUAUGUCUCAUCUGGAUGUGAUGCAUCUGCAGAAGCAAAAAACAUACACAUGAGGAAUACUGCCUUCUUUUCAUCAUGAGUUUUGCACAAAAGAAUUGCACGACCUUCCACAAAACUACCUCUAGCAUAAUUGUAGUCACAAUAGCUGUUGUCACUGUAACCAUUAGGAUGUCCAUAGUAGCUGUUGGGAGCGGCAAAAGGGUCACGGAAAAGGUCGUAGGCCCAGUGGAAAUUUUGAUCUUUCUCGCACAUGUUCAUCCGUUGGGCUCAAAUUCUCUGUCAAAAGCACUGCCCCUACCAAGUAGAUUCAGUGAUUUUAGCAUAAGGGCAUGAACACCAAAAGAAGAACGGAAAAUGCGUGAUAUACGGCUAAUCUUGCGCGGUCGCAACAAAGUCAAGGACCGGUGACAGACUUGACAUAAAUGAGUGAUUUGAGUCAUCACGUUAGGAGCACUCUCCCUAUUACUAGUGAUGACAAGGACAGAUCGGAGAAAACUAACAGAUUAGUAGGCAAUCCUCCUCCAGGGACCACUACCACAUUAUAAGAUAUUAUUAAGAUAACUUCUCAUCAGUCUAAGCAACCAAAUCAACAACCUAAUAACAUGCAAGAUCAAAGCACUUUUUUGAUUUGUUGCACACUGAUUGAACAACCCAAUAUCAAUAUGAUUACUCCCAUGAUACGUUAGCAAAACAAAAAGGCUGCGACGGUCUCAUAAUCCAAUCAAACGCUUUUCAUAGCAGAUUGCGUCUUGACUGCCGAUGAUGCUCGAGAGGCCGUUCAGGGAGCGAACUAACUGCAGGUGCUAUCCACCUUAAUUUCUUUGAUUUGAUACGAACUGCUGACGUGCUCGGUAUCAAUUGUUAAAUUAGGGCCUCACCUACUGUUGUCCGCUAAAAAAAUGAUACACUACUUCAGAAGCUGGAUUAUUAACAAGAGAUAUCGAUAACUGUUUCUAGGUCUAGCUACCCUGUUUUCCUGCAGGGUUAGCGCGCGGCUGCCUCAAGAGGAGGAGAAAUGGUGGAAAAGUUGCGAGAUUAUUAUUCCUGCAGAGUCAGUGGCUGCCUCACGAGGAGGAGAAAUGGUGGAAAAGUUGCAGGACUAUAAUACUCCUACUGAUAGUACUAAUAAUCCAACAAGCAAAGGCUCGUCCAGUCAGAAAACGAGGGGACGGACGGGCAGCCUUGUCCCAAAAAGGCGGCAUCAACGAUCAUCAUGGAACCAGAUUGAAGCAACCUUAGCAGGCAAGGCUGCAGCUUUGUUCAUGGGGCAAAUCAUUUCUACAGAGAAGAAAAAGGCAUUCCUUUUCGUUGGCACAAGCCACCACAUACACACAACCAAUUUCUUCCAGGGAUGAACGCGGACAGACAAAAUAGAGCGUCGUCACCGGCUCAUAAAUUGGAGGUAACAAGAUCACGGCAGCCUCGAUAAUAAUCCAAAAGAAAAAAAAGCAGUGAGCAAGGCAAAGAUAAUCGGAACGGGGAGAUGAGGUCGGUCGGGAUCGCGGCCGAAUUCCCCCUCCCGAAACUGAUAGCCGGCCGCAUCGACGAGCAAGAAAGGAAAGGGAGGAACCCGUGAACAAAUCAGAGAAAGCGAGGCGCACUGACCUCCACCCCACGAUCAGCUCUUCGCGGGACGAAGCCGGAGGCGGGGGUGCCAAGGCCGGAUCUUCCGCCGCCCCGGGCGACAACUAGCGGGCGGCGGCGGCGGCUCCGGGGGGGUUGAGCGAGCAGGCGAAGGAGGCGGAGCGGCAGGGGGAGCGGCGGGUCAUCCGGGGGGCCGCCUUGGGGCCGUGGAGCAUGGGAGGUUCCUCGUCGGCCGGCGGAUUGGGGAUUGAGGAAGAAGCAGCCAGGAGGAGGAGCCUCUGUGUGAAUCGAGCGCGAGAGAGGCAGACGCAGAGAUUAUUUUUAUUUUUUAUUUUUCUUCUUCACUCUCUCUCUCUCCCUCUUUCGGCUGGCACGCGGCCGCUGCUGUUUAUAGUACUCGCUGUACUGUUGAUGCGGGGAUGGCGAAUUUUCACAAACCACCUCGAGGUUGUUUCUUUUUGCGGAUAGACGUCCCUGGCAGUGAGCCACACGAUCUUCUCUCUUCUCUCUUCUCGACCGUGGCGGCUCUUGGAGCGAACACUAGUUAAUGACCCUGUUCCUUGUCACAAGGGAGAAGGAACACAUGGCAUGGCAUGGUGGUGCCUUUUUGAAACUUAAAAAACCCGCCAAAUAAGACCAGGUAUGGACCGGAAUGGUGAGGGGAGGGUGGCUACAAAGGAUGUAGCUUUCUUUCUUGCAAGAUGGGCUUUGUGCACGGUUGAUGGCGACGCGACGUGCCGCGCCGGCUCUUUCGGUUUGUUUGUUACCCGUUUGUGUGUUGUGUCCUUCCGGUGGAGGCGUAGAAUGAGGACGCGAGAUGCUGACGCUGACGUGGUCGCCAUGGCCCAAACUCUCCGGUUUGCGUUUACAUGCCGAGCAUACGGAAGAAGGAUUGGCGACGUGAGCGCGUGGAAGAAGGAUGGCUUUUUUUUUCAUUGGAAAUAUGUGUGUGGUUUUAUUUUUUUCCGGGGAAGUGAGAUGUGGUGUUAACAGAUCGGUCCUUGGUAAAACAGAAUUGCUAAAAGGUUUUUGGUGACGGUUUGUAGUGGCGCGGGGAUGACAAACUUAGUUGACGAGCACGAUAGUUUUCUGACAAAAAAAAUUUAGCUAGGGCGAAUUUAACUUCUCACAAACUAAACUUGCUACCCUCGGCAAACGUAAUUUGGCAUUUUCUAUUUGUCAUGCCUAAAAAUCUGGCGUUCGCUGAAUACUCAUGUACUAGUAAAAAAGCAAGACAUUGGCUUUGCAUCGAAAGAUGUUAUAACAAGUUUCUAACUCAAAUAAGUCGUAUGGCUCCAUGGUUGGUGCAUUAGUAUUAGUUGGACAAACAUUGUCAAGAAUGUAUGUAUACUUUUGGUUCUCCGGUUCGUCUCGUCGCUUUUCAUCGUAGGGACAACAAGAUGCUUGAAGGGUACACUGUAUUUAUGACAAUGUUAAUGAUUGUACUAUUGCUUAUACAUGCAUGAUACAGAUCCAUGUACGCCACUGCCUUAACUAAAAGCCAUAUUUGUAUCUUUCUUUUAACGAUGAAGCACAUGAAAAUUACGUAGAAAGCAUAUGUAUGUGCGACAAUCUGGCCAUUCUUCCAAACCCAAAGUGAAAAUGGUAAUUAGAUCUCCGACAACAGAUAUAUGCCGCACACACCAAAAAGACGAUGACACCACACACGUCUAGGCUAGUGCCAACCGAAAAUGUCCAAAUUGUUAAAUUUUGUAGAUACGGUCAUUGGCUUUUUGUCCCGGCUUUGUAAGAGGCAAUUAGGAUCGUGUACCGUCCAUGCAUGGAUCAUGUUUCAUUUAAUCUUGUCAUAAGCGACCGAAAAUGUCCAAAAUGUUGAAUCUUGUCAUAAGCGAGGGCACCAACUUGGCAACUUUGGAACGUUUUUUUCUGUUAGACAUGAACUUUUUUUAAAGGAAUUUGGAGCCUUUUUAUUUGGCACGUUUUUUAAUUUUUAUUUGACAUGAACUUGAGCAUGUUGCUCGUCAAAGGAAUGCCUAUAUACUAGUACCCCACUAAUGCUUGCCAUGGACGGACCAAGUUUAACACGUGUACGCAUUAAGCUCUAGUGGUACCAACCAAACAACGUUCGAGUCGAGCCGCACCUAUCGGUCGUACACUGCUAUACCACUAACCAGUACGAGGUCCCAAACGCAAUUCCAGCAAACCACAGGGGUUUAACCGCAACAAGGACGGCGUCGACCAGUGGAAUCGCGUCAGCGGGCCGGGCCCCGCCAGGGGCCAGACGAGCCAGCGGGCGUUGACGUCACAGGCCCAUCUGAGCCGAGCCAGCGCGCGGACUCCGAGGGGAAUCUAGCCAUCCCAUCCCGGCGCUCCUGACGACGGGCCCCGCGGCCCGGAUGCGGCCAGCCCGGGGGCCUGGCCUGGCAUCGGGAAUGGCAUCUUUUCUCCCGACUCGUCCGUCGCCGUACGCCGCUGGCCGCAGCAGCUGGCUAAAAGCCAAACGGCCCCCAGGAAUUUCUCUCUUCUUGUAAUACUAUCUUUUUGUUACCUUGGACUGGGCUGGAGGUCGAUGUCGGGUUUUCAACUUUAAUAGGGGUGAAAAGAUGGUAAUCUUUUAAAGGUGGUCGAGAGUGACCCGCACCGUAUUAUAUAAUAAUAAUAAUAAUAAUAAUAAUAAUAAUAAUAAUAAUAANNNNNNNNNNCAUAAAACAAUGGGUUAUUCGUUGGUAUUUUACUUUCUUCGCUUUUCGUGCUUCUGAAAAUCUCGGCUCUCGCGGACAAGGGGUCGCGGUUUUAUGGCAUUUGGCGCGUCUAGGAGCGUCUGCAUCUCAAAGCGCGAGACUAAGGACCAAUGAACUAAGAACGGAGGAGGGAAAAAACUGAUGGUGUUGGUCUUGGAGAGCAUAUAUAACCCGUAUGGUCAGAAAUAGAUGAUAAACGAACACCCCGAAGAGGAAGUGGGCACAUUGGUUUAGCCUCUUCCCGUCUUAUGUUACCUAUAUUCCAUCUUUCGGAGCACAUGGAGGUUGAGACUCAAAAGCAUUGUUAGGUGUUUCUAUCUAAAAAUAAAAUUAUGCAUGUCAGCAUGAAGUGAGAAUAGUAACACACAAGCUUUUUCCCUCUUUUUUCCUACAUCCUACAUGCCUUUCGGCUUGGGCUAAGGAUUGGAUGGACUCACUCGCCUUUAUGUUUCGCUUAACACCUGGUAAUGUGGAUGCUCUUAUCACUUGUGUAAGAUGGCUUCUCGAAGACAGAAAGUUUGUCCCCUCCACAAAUGCUUAGCUUGUGGCGCACCGCCCUCUUUCUUAUUUAUGUAUUAUACUUCCUUUUUCAUUCAUCAUUUAGACACCCCUUUCCGUCGGUCGUCACCCGUUGUGGGAGACGGUAUUGAAGCAACACUUGAUGUUUUUUUUCUUUAUGCCACUCUAAGGUCAUACAUCCAAACCCCCACGGUCAUUUUAUAGGUGGCAUAAGGCCCCAAAUUUCUCUUUCUUUACCUAGACUUGAGGCUGAUGUCGAAACUUAACUUUAGGGUGAAAAGAUGAUAAUAUUUCUAAGGAGAUUGGGAGUGACCGGCACCAUGAAUUUGUACACAAUGGAUUACUGGGUUAACUAUUUUGCUUUCUUGGCUUUUUGCUCCUUUUCUUGAAAAAUAAUAAUAAACUCGGUUAUGGGUGGACAGUCUGCUCGGUUAUAACCUUGUCAUGUGUUGUCGAAGCUAGGAUCAAUGUGCUUCUCGGGGCAAACAGAGGAUAAAGCAAUAAGAAAAAAAAAGACGAUAACAACGCUACGAGGUAUAGUGCGAAAAUCUAGUGGUGGAAAAUCCUGGACCCAAGCUUGGUUGAGCAUAAAUCAUCAGAAACGUGAGGUGAACCAUUCGGUAGAAGUGGACAUGUCAAUUUGUUCUCUUCCUUAUGACUCUUAUGUUACUUCUAUUCCAUCUUCGAAAGCAAAUAGAAGUUGACACGUAAAACAUUAUUAAGAAACUUUCUAAUGGUAAUAAAAUAGUAUGUGUCAUGAUGAAGUUUUCAGCUUUAGCUCACAUUUAGCUCCGCUUAACAUCUAGUGAUGCGGACGCUCUUAUCACACAUACUAGACAAAAAAAUUAAGAGGGAAGUUUUUCUCCCCCACGAAUAUUUGCUGGGCACCGCCAUUUUCUUAAGUUAUGCAUUAUACUUCCUAUUUUAUUCAUGAUUAUGUCAUAUCUCUUUUUAAGGAGCCAUAGAGUAACCAACACCAUAAUAAAUUCGCAAUACAAUGGAUGGGUUACUAGUUGAAUUUUUGUUUUCUUGGUUUAUCACCCUUUGAAAAAACUAGAUUUGUUAUGGGUGGAUGGAGGAGGUUGCGCUUAUAGCCUUGGUGUAUCUAGUCAUAUCUAAGAGUAUAUGUAUCUCAAGGUGUUGAACAAUAGGUAAAGCACUACGAAGAUGGUUUUAGCAACUUUGUGGGAUGUAAACCUUCUCGCAAAAAAACUUAGCACCAAUAGUAGGCCUAGAAUUUGUAACACAUAUUACCAGAAACUGGUGGUAAACCCCUGAAAAAGAAGUGGACACGUCACCUUAAUCUCUUCCAUAUGAAUUCUUUUACUUCUAUUCCAUUUAUGGAAGCACAUGAAAGUUGAGACGUAAAACAUUGUUAGGUAAAUUAAAUAAUUUGUAGGCGAAGUGAGAGUUGUAUCAUAUUAGCUUAUAAUCUCUUUACCCCACGGGCCUUUUGGUUUCAGUUCCGGAUAGACCAUUGCACAUUUAGCUUUUGCUUAACCCCUAGUGAUGUGAAUGCUCUUAUCACCUAUACAUACUACUCACUUUGUACCUAUAGUUAUCCCCAACAACAAUUAUUUAGGUACGAAGGAAGUGGUAGACAACUUCUCAGGAUGCGAAGGUUUUUGUGCUCCUUCUCUGUGAAUUCUUGCGGCACACCGCCGUCAUUCUUAGAUAUUCAUAUGCUUCCUUUUCUCGGUCAUCAUUUAGGCAUCCAUUUCCAUCAUUCAUCACCCAUUAUGGGAUAUGGAUUCGGAGCACCGUUCGAUUACUUUUGAGUGCGUCGCUAUGAAGUUGUAUAUCGGAAGGCGAACCCCUCAUGAUCAUUGAACACGUGGCACAAGAGUCACAUGCUUUUUUUCUUAUUGCCUAAUAUAUACAUGUAUGUACGAGCCAAUGUUGUUGCUCUUUCAAUAUCAAACAAAUUUAGUUUUAACCGCAUAUGUACUGUCCAUAGAUACAGACCAACGGUUAAUUAGGCCACGAAAAGAGAACAUAUAUGAAAAUUCAUAAUGGCCCUAAACUUCUUUUUUUUACGUAAAUUGGAGGUCGAUGCCGAAUUGUGAACUUUAUCAGGGUCAAAAUAGAUGCUCGUACUUGCUUUUGGCGCACAACGGUCUUCCUUAUUUACGGAUUAUACUUCCUUUUUUGUCAUCAUUUAGGCAUCCAUUUCCAUCAUUUGUCACCCACCGAGGAGAUGGAUACCGAAGAAACACUCAAUGAUUUUUGUGUGCGCCACUCUAAGGUAGUGCGUCCGAAAAGCGAAGCCUCCAUGAACACUUCAUAGAUGGUACAUGAGUACAUGUUUUUUUUACUUUGUACAUGUAUGAAUGGUCCCAAAUUUCUCUUAUGUUCUUUUUACCUGGACUAGAGGUCGAUGUCGAGUUUUAAACUUUAGGGUGAAUAGAUGAUAAUAUUCUUAAGGAUGUUGAGAGUGACUCGCACCUUCAACUUGUAAAACAAUGGAUUACUGGUUGAAUUAUUUUACUUUCUUGGAAUUUUUGCUCUUAAAAAAUGAACUUGGUUAUGGGUGGACAGAGUGGUGGCGUUUAUAGACUUGGUAUGUGUUGUCAAAUAUAGGAUCAUUUGUAUCUCGGUGGUAAACAAAGGAUGAAGCAAUAAGAAAAAGGUGGCGACGGUACUACAAGAUAUAGUGCGAAAAAAUAAUGGCAAAAAUCUUGGACCCAAAGUAGAGCAUCUAUAACCUGUAUUGUCAUAAACAAGGAGGUGAACCCCAUGGAAAGUAGAAGUGGACACAUCAAUUUGUUCUCUUCCUUAUGACUCUUAUGUUACUUUUAUUCCAUCUUCGUAAGCAUAAAAAGUUAACAUGUAAGACAUUGUUAGGUAAUUAGUCUGAUAAUAAAUAAUACAUAUUGGCGAUGAAAUUUUUGGCUUUCUUUCUCGGUAAACCCUCUCACAUUUUGCUUCCGCUUAAAAACUUGUAGCUAUGUUAUGAGAUAUAAGUCUUCUGGCAAAAACUUACCACUAGUAGUAGACCUAGCAUAUGUAACCCAUAUUAAAAUCUGGUGGUAAACGUGAACCGAGUGUAGCCCAAAUGGUUAGGUUCCUUGUGGUGAAACCAGCCCACGGGGUUCAAAUUCAAAUCCCAGACUCGACACUGGUGCUCACAUUUUCUUGGAUAUAUUUCAGGCUUUUUUGUGAUGUUCAUUUUAUGGGAGGAGACGUUUCCGCCAACUACGAAGGCACCUGUGGUGACUUCGUUAAUCUCAAGAUGUUUUAUCGGUUCAAUACUUUAGAGUUGCUCACAAAGAUAAUAUGUGGGUAUUUGUGUUUGUACUGUAUGGUGGUAAACCUCUGAAAAAGAGGUGACCACACCACUUUGGUCUCUUCCAUAUGAAUCUUUUUUUUCACUUCUAUUCCAUUCAUGGAAGCACAUGGAAGUUGAGACGUAAGACACUGUUAGGUAACUUAUCUAAAAAUAAUGCGUAGAAGUUAAGAUGAAGCAAGAAUUGUAACAUAUAAGCUUCUGUCCUCUUUCAUAUACCCCAAGGGCCGAUCUCGACUUCAGUUUCGGACAGACCAUCACACAUUUAGCUUCUGCUUAACACCUAGCGAUACGGAUGUUCUUAUCGCAUAUACAUACUAGUAGACGGCUUCUCGAGGACGGGAAAUCAUUUAUUUUUUGUUUCUUCUAUAUGAAUGCUUGCGGCAUACCGUCCUCUUCCUUAGUUAUUCAUAUACUUCCCUUUCUGUUUAUCAUUUAGGCAUCUCUUUCGAUCGUUCGUCACCGGUCAUGGGAGACAGAUACCAAAGCAACGUUCAAUAAUUUUUGCGUGCGCCGCGCUCUGGUUGCAAGAUCAGAAAGAAAAACCUCCAUGAUCACUUCACACGUGGCGCAAGAGUCACAUGUUUUUUUCUUCUUAUUAUUGCUGACUACGUAGAUGCACGAGCAAGUGUUUCUGCUCGUUCAAAAAUAACAAAUUCAGUUCGAACCGCAUGACCGUAUCUGCACUGCUCCACGAGGGAGACCGAUUGUUAGGCCAUGAAAAGAAACCAUAUAGAAAUGAAAAAAAAAAUCAUAAUGAAGCUAAUAAUUAAUGAAUGGACGUAGGGUCACAGAGAGACCGAUCUUAGUCACGGUGACUUGGAUCCGACACGGCCGGCAUCACCUCACCCGUCCCGUUCCUAAUGCUGGAUGAGAAUGGCCUCACUGUGUUCAUGUCGAUGUGAAUUUUUUUUUGGUUCAGAAUGAAAAAGAAAAAGUAUAUAUAGUAAUAAUAACACGAAGAAACAUCCAAGGCCGAUGACGAGAAACGGCCGGCGUUGCGGGGCGGGACGGCGGCGAUUGGACCGAGAAGCGGAAAUUCUUCACUUUCUUCAGAACCUAACAAAUUUGGUGACCUCCGGACGGUUUUUAACUCGAAACUUUCUAAGGGCGAAGAAAAAGCCAUAAACUACUGAGGGAAAGGAACUGCAUGAAUGGUGCCGGAUUUCAUGGCAGGUAGCCCUCGCCAUCGGUGGCGACUGGCACAAAGCAGUGGCUGCCAAUGGCAAACCAUGUGACAGGUCCGGCGGAUCACCAUCCGGUCUACAUGUCACACAUACUCUGCACCUGAUUUUCUGAACAUGAUGCACCACCGUCACGCAAACCAUGUGCUAAUCUCUGAAGAUGAUAGGCAUCAGGCAGGCAGGGGUGCAUGGUGUUGGCCUUGACAAGGCAUAUGAGAUGUCAGAAGAUGAGAUGGACCUCACCUCACCUCACCUCCUCUUCUCUGCUUCCGUCGAUUCUUCGUCGUCGACAGGCGAAUCGGACGUCCGAUUCGAGACCGAAAGCAGCCCUACAGUUGCUGCCCGUCACAUGAAGAUGAUCUGCCUCCAAUUCUGCUCCCCACCCACAUAUGCACCAUGUCGCCGGAGAAAAGUUAAGUUGGGCAGGAAGGAGAUGUGUUCUGAUGAUGAAAUGGAAUGGAAAGUGUUCACGGUGCAGAAAGAACAGAAUUUCUCUGCCUCCAGCCAACAGCACAAUCUACAGGCUACAGCUACAGGGGAACAGCAGAAUGAGACCGGCACCAGCAACUCUUUUUCCUUUUCCUCCGGCGAGAAUUCACCACCAGAAAUGAACCUUUGCUGGGUUAUUUGCGGCGGAGAUUUGAUCAUCAUGUCUGGUAACAAGGAUCGGUCGCGAAGAUCGACCGUCCGAUCAAAACGUCGAUUGUAGCCUCCCCCCUAUCCAUGUGCUGCUACCACCAAGAAAUUCUCCCAGUUGCACCAAGGGGUCUCUUUCUGAUGUGAGCAUCUGGGUCUGGGUCUUAUCUGGGCAAAAGAAUGGCCGGCAGGGAUGUACCACCCAGCAUCAGAUAUUCAGAUCAUUCUCCGAUAAGGCACAUCCUCCGAUUGGUUGGCAGAAAUCCACUGGCUCAGGUCACAUCUUGCCUGAAUCUGAAUUGACAAUUCCCUGGCUCCCUGCACACAACCCUUUCCACAUGAAAAAUGACAGGUUUUCAGUAGUUCUUGAGAAAAAAGACGGAAAGUUUUAAGUUGUGCACAAACUAGAUUAGUAGCGUGCACAAGAUGGAAGAGCUGAAACUGGACCAAAAUCACAAGCAACCUACUGAUUCACAAUCUUGCAGCUCAGACCAGGGUAAUACACAAACAAAAGACUGUUUAAUCAGAAAUCUACAGGACCAAAAAAGUUACACGCUGCAGCGCAAACCGUGCACCGGUUACGAACUUCAUAUCUCUAUGAACAGCUAGCCAUACUUACAGUCACAGGCAGGAGGGUGGUGGCAUCCAUUUCAGCAGGUCUUUAUGAUCUCUGGUUUCCAGCCCCGCCACACGAUCUGGCGGCACCCGAACUUGAACUCCUGGAGCCUCCUCUUCAAUGACCCUUUCUUGGUCCGCUUCGCGCCCGGCCCGGAGACCGAGCCGUGGUAGUGCAGGGGAGGCUCCGGCGGGCCGAUCUCGACGCUGUCGACGAUCUUCUGCACCAUCUCAUACACCUCGCUCAUCUUUGGGCGCGACUUGGGCAUCCGGAGGAGGCAGCGGUUCGCCACACCGGCCAACUUUGUCAUGGACUUGAGGUUGUAGUGGCCCUCGAGCCGCGGGUCGACGAUGAUGGGGAACCGUUUGACAUCGGAGAUGUACGGUUUCACCCAGUCCAGGAGCUUCUGCUCGCUCUUUGGGCGGUUCCUGUCAAUGGGACGCCGGCCGGUGAUGAGCUCGUAGAGGAGCACACCAUAGCCCCAUAUGUCGCUUUUUGCAGUCAGGCGUCCGGUUUGCAUGUACUCCGGCGCGGCGUAUCCUAGAGUUCCAACAACCUGUGGAACCAUAAGUACUUAACAUGUUAGUUUAGUUGAACAGAUUACAGAUGCAUCAAGUUCAAAGUUGUAUUAGAAACUGAACAAAAUCUUCUUUAAAAAGGAACUAAAAAAAUGGCAAGAGGAGAAUGAAAUUCAUAAAAUUAUUACAUGGAGAAUCUCAUACGAUUUCUAAAGCAAGCACUUUAGGGGGGCACCAGGUAGCAGUGCAUAUGUAGCUAUUGCUAGGCCUCACAUAGUGGGAUCCAUGUGUCAUAAAAAGAAACAAUAUGGUUUUCUUUUGUGCAAAAUCUAUUCUUAAUGAAACCAGGGUAUAACUAAACCAAUGUCUCCUAACAAAAUAAUAGUUUAGUUGACAUGUCAACAUAUGUGCAACAAGUUCUUUGCAAAAAACUCUGGCGCAGCAAAGCGUGUAAAAUCACCCUAGUUGUUAUGGUAGUUAGGAACUUAGGAUGAAUACUUUAAAACCGAAUUCUUGUUACUUGUAUGUGCAGUUGGCUUUAUCUGAAGAAGAGAAAUGUGAUUUCUUUAAUAGACGUCAUUUUGGCUAGUGCUGCAUUCUGAAGCUGCCACAGGAAACGUAUAUAGUUCCGAUUAACGCUUCAGGCUGAAGUACUCGCUCCUUUCUAGGACUUCAGUUGUAAUUCUCGAAAAAAUAAGAACAUGAUUGUUGAGCACUUCAGAAACUAAAACAUAUGCAUUUAAACAUCAAUAGCCAUGUACUGAAACAACUAUACCAUUUGAGGUGGAGCAACUGGGUAUCCAUUUCCAACGUCAUUGCUAUAAAAAAAGGAACCAUGUUCUAGGAAAAGUUAUCGGAACUAAACAAAGUGGCAAAGAAGAGAACAAACUUCAUAAAACUAGUGCAUGGAGAAUCUUCUACAACUUUCAUGUGUGUGUGUGUGGGGGGGGGGNNNNNNNNNNNNNNNNNNNNNNNNNNNNNNNNNNNNNNNNNNNNNNNNNNNNNNNNNNNNNNNNNNNNNNNNNNNNNNNNNNNNNNNNNNNNNNNNNNNNGACCAUACGGGUUAUAUAUGCUCUCCAAGACCAACACCAUCAGUUUUUUCCCUCCUCCGUUCUUAGUUCAUUGGUCCUUAGUCUCGCGCUUUGAGAUGCAGACGCUCCUAGACGCGCCAAAUGCCAUAAAACCGCGACCCCUUGUCCGCGAGAGCCGAGAUUUUCAGAAGCACGAAAAGCGAAGAAAGUAAAAUACCAACGAAUAACCCAUUGUUUUAUGCGUUGUUAUUAUUAUUAUUAUNAUUAUUAUUAUUAUUAUUAUUAUUAUAUAAUACGGUGCGGGUCACUCUCGACCACCUUUAAAAGAUUACCAUCUUUUCACCCCUAUUAAAGUUGAAAACCCGACAUCGACCUCCAGCCCAGUCCAAGGUAACAAAAAGAUAGUAUUACAAGAAGAGAGAAAUUCCUGGGGGCCGUUUGGCUUUUAGCCAGCUGCUGCGGCCAGCGGCGUACGGCGACGGACGAGUCGGGAGAAAAGAUGCCAUUCCCGAUGCCAGGCCAGGCCCCCGGGCUGGCCGCAUCCGGGCCGCGGGGCCCGUCGUCAGGAGCGCCGGGAUGGGAUGGCUAGAUUCCCCUCGGAGUCCGCGCGCUGGCUCGGCUCAGAUGGGCCUGUGACGUCAACGCCCGCUGGCUCGUCUGGCCCCUGGCGGGGCCCGGCCCGCUGACGCGAUUCCACUGGUCGACGCCGUCCUUGUUGCGGUUAAACCCCUGUGGUUUGCUGGAAUUGCGUUUGGGACCUCGUACUGGUUAGUGGUAUAGCAGUGUACGACCGAUAGGUGCGGCUCGACUCGAACGUUGUUUGGUUGGUACCACUAGAGCUUAAUGCGUACACGUGUUAAACUUGNNNNNNNNNNNNNNNNNNNNNNNNNNNNNNNNNNNNNNNNNNNNNNNNNNNNNNNNNNNNNNNNNNNNNNNNNNNNNNNNNNNNNNNNNNNNNNNNNNNNNNNNNNNNNNNNNNNNNNNNNNNNNNNNNNNNNNNNNNNNNNNNNNNNNNNNNNNNNNNNNNNNNNNNNNNNNNNNNNNNNNNNNNNNNNNNNNNNNNNNNNNNNNNNNNUUCCUUUGACGAGCAACAUGCUCAAGUUCAUGUCAAAUAAAAAUUAAAAAACGUGCCAAAUAAAAAGGCUCCAAAUUCCUUUAAAAAAAGUUCAUGUCUAACAGAAAAAAACGUUCCAAAGUUGCCAAGUUGGUGCCCUCGCUUAUGACAAGAUNNNNNNNNNNNNNNNNNNNNNNNNNNNNNNNNNNNNNNNNNNNNNNNNNNNNNNNNNNNNNNNNNNNNNNNNNNNNNNNNNNNNNNNNNNNNNNNNNNNNAUGCUAUUACUACUAAAGCUACAUCCUAGCAAAAUAGUAAACGCAUCUGCAAGCACAAACGUUAGUAUAAAGACAACCCUAUGGCUCCUGUCGGUUGCCGUACCAUCGACGUGCAAGUCGAUAUUAACUAUUACAACAUGAUCAUCUCAUACAUCCAAUAUAUCACAUCACAUCGUUGGCCAUAUCACAUCACAAGCAUACCCUGCAAAAACAAGUUAGACGUCCUCUAAUUUUGUUGUUGCAUGUUUUACGUGGUGACCAUGGGUAUCUAGUAGGAUCGCAUCUUACUUACGCAAACACCACAACGGAGAUAUAUGAGUUGCUAUUUAACCUCAUCCAAGGACCUCCUCGGUCAAAUCCGAUUCAACUAAAGUUGGAGAAACCGUCACUUGCCAGUCAUCUUUGAGCAAAGGGGGUUACUCGUAACGAUGAAACCAGUCUCUCGUAAGCGUACGAGUAAUGUCGGUCCAAGCCGCUUCAAUCCAACAAUACCGCGGAAUCAAGAAAAGACUAAGGAGGGCAGCAAAACGCACAUCACCGUCCACAAAAACUUUUGUGUUCUACUCGAGAAGACAUCUACGCAUGAACCUAGCUCAUGAUGCCACUGUUGGGGAACGUCGCACGGGAAACAAAAAUUUUCCUACUCGCACGAAGACCUAUCAUGGUGAUGUCCAUCUACGAGAGGGGAUGAGUGAUCUACGUACCCUUGUAGACCGUACAGCAGAAGCGUUAGAGAACGCGGUUGAUGUAGUGGAACGUCCUCACGUCCCUCGAUCCGCCCCGCGAACAAUCCCGCGAUCAGUCCCACGAUCUAGUACCGAACGGACGGCACCUCCGCGUUCAGCACACGUACAACUCGACGAUGAUCUCGGCCUUCUUGAUCCAGCAAGAGAGACGGAGAGGUAGAAGAGUUCUCCGGCAGCGUGACGGCGCUCCGGAGGUUGGUGAUGAUCUCGUCUCAGCAGGGCUCCGCCCGAGCUCCGCAGAAACGCGAUCUAGAGGAAAAACCGUGGAGGUAUGUGGUCGGGCUGCCGUGGAAAAGUCGUCUCAAAUCAGCCCUAAAACCUCCGUAUAUAUAGGUGGGAGGGAGGGGACCUUGCCUUGGGGCUCAAGGAGCCCCAAGGGGGUCGUCCGAGUCCAAGGGGGGAGGACUCCCCCCCCCCAAACCGAGUUGGACUUGGUUUGGUGGGAGGGAGUCCCCCUUCCUUCCCACCUCCUCCUUUUUUUUCUUUCUCUUUGAUUUUUAUCUCUAUGGCGCAUAGGGCACUUGUGGGCUGUCCCACCAGCCCACUAAGGGCUGGUGUGCCUCCCUCAAGGCCUAUGGGCUUCCCCGGGGUGGGUUGCCCCCCCGGUGAACUCCCGGAACCCAUUCGUCAUUCCCGGUACAUUCCCGGUAACUCCGAAAACCUUCCGGUAAUCAAAUGAGGUCAUCCUAUAUAUCAAUCUUCGUUUCCGGACCAUUCCGGAAACCCUCGUGACGUCCGUGAUCUCAUCCGGGANNNNNNNNNNNNNNNNNNNNNNNNNNNNNNNNNNNNNNNNNNNNNNNNNNNNNNNNNNNNNNNNNNNNNNNNNNNNNNNNNNNNNNNNNNNNNNNNNNNNNNNNNNNNNNNNNNNNNNNNNNNNNNNNNNNNNNNNNNNNNNNNNNNNNNNNNNNNNNNNNNNNNNNNNNNNNNNNNNNNNNNNNNNNNNNNNNNNNNNNNNNNNNNNNNNNNNNNNNNNNNNNNNNNNNNNNNNNNNNNNNNNNNNNNNNNNNNNNNNNNNNNNNNNNNNNNNNNNNNNNNNNNNNNNNNNNNNNNNNNNNNNNNNNNNNNNNNNNNNNNNNNNNNNNNNNNNNNNNNNNNNNNNNNNNNUAUUUAUUCCCUUUGUCCUUCGGUAUGUUACUUGCCCGAGAUUUGAUCGUCAGUAUCCGCAUACCUAUUUCAAUCUCGUUUACUGGCAAGUCUCUUUACUCGUUCCAUAAUACAAGAUCCUGUAACUUACACUAAGUCACAUUGCUUGCAAGGCUUGUGUGUGAUGUUGUAUUACCGAGUGGGCCCCGAGAUACCUCUCCGUCAUACGGAGUGACAAAUCCNNNNNNNNNNNNNNNNNNNNNNNNNNNNNNNNNNNNNNNNNNNNNNNNNNNNNNNNNNNNNNNNNNNNNNNNNNNNNNNNNNNNNNNNNNNNNNNNNNNNUUAUCCAUGCUAUAAUUGUAUUGAUUGGAAACACAAUACUUGUGUGGAUACAUAGACAAAACACUGUCCCUAGUAAGCCUCUAGUUGACUAGCUCGUUAAUCAAAGAUGGUCAAGGUUUCCUGGCCAUAGGCAAGUGUUGUCACUUGAUAACGGGAUCACAUCAUUAGGAGAAUCAUGUGAUGGACUAGACCCAAACUAAUAGACGUAGCAUGUUGAUCGUGUCAUUUUGUUGCUACUGUUUUCUGCGUGUCAAGUAUUUAUUCCUAUGACCAUGAGAUCAUAUAACUCACUGACACCGGAGGAAUGCUUUGUGUGUAUCAAACGUCGCAACGUAACUGGGUGACUAUAAAGAUGCUCUACAGGUAUCUCCGAAGGUGUUAGUUGAGUUAGUAUGGAUCGAGACUGGGAUUUGUCACUCCGUGUGACGGAGAGGUAUCUCGGGGCCCACUCGGUAAUACAACAUCACACACAAGCCUUGCAAGCAAUGUGACUUAGUGUAAGUUGCGGGAUCUUGUAUUACGGAACGAGUAAAGAGACUUGCCGGUAAACGAGAUUGAAAUAGGUAUGCGGAUACUGACGAUCGAAUCUCGGGCAAGUAANNNNNNNNNNNNNNNNNNNNNNNNNNNNNNNNNNNNNNNNNNNNNNNNNNNNNNNNNNNNNNNNNNNNNNNNNNNNNNNNNNNNNNNNNNNNNNNNNNNNNNNNNNNNNNNNNNNNNNNNNNNNNNNNNNNNNNNNNNNNNNNNNNNNNNNNNNNNNNNNNNNNNNNNNNNNNNNNNNNNNNNNNNNNNNNNNNNNNNNNNNNNNNNNNNNNNNNNNNNNNNNNNNNNNNNNNNNNNNNNNNNNNNNNNNNNNNNNNNNNNNNNNAUAUUGACCGAGGAGUCACUCGGGUCAUGUCUACAUAGUUCUCGAACCCGCAGGGUCUGCACACUUAAGGUUCGACGAUGUUUUAUGCGUAUUUGAGUUAUAUGGUUGGUUACCGAAUGUUGUUCGGAGUCCCGGAUGAGAUCACGGACGUCAUGAGGGUUUCCGGAAUGGUCCGGAAACGAAGAUUGAUAUAUAGGAUGACCUCAUUUGGUUACCGGAAGGUUUUCGUGCAUUACCGGAAAAGUUUCGGGCUCAUCGGUAGUGUAUCGGGAGUGCCGGGAGGGGUGCCGGGGACCAUCGGGAGGGGUGUCACGCCCCAAGGGUCUCAUGGGCUAUGGGAAGAGAUAAACCAGCCCCUAGUGGGCUGGAAUAAGUUCCCACUAAGGCCCAUAAGGUUUGAGAAGGAAAAAACACAAGGUGGAAAGAGUUUCCAAGUGGGAAGGUGGAAUCCUACUCCAAGUAGGAUUGGAGUAGGACUCCUCCACCUCCAAUUUCGGCCAAACCUUUAGGUUUUGAGGCUGCCUCCUCCCCUCCCUCCCACCUAUAUAUACGGAGGUUUUAGGGCUGAUUUGAGACGACUUUCUCACGGAUGCCCGACCACAUACCUCCAUAGUUUUUCCUCUAGAUCGCGUUUCUGCGGAGCUCGGGCGGAGCCCUGCUGAGACAAGAUCAUCACCAACCUNNNNNNNNNNNNNNNNNNNNNNNNNNNNNNNNNNNNNNNNNNNNNNNNNNNNNNNNNNNNNNNNNNNNNNNNNNNNNNNNNNNNNNNNNNNNNNNNNNNNNNNNNNNNNNNNNNNNNNNNNNNNNNNNNNNNNNNNNNNNNNNNNNNNNNNNNNNNNNNNNNNNNNNNNNNNNNNNNNNNNNNNNNNNNNNNNNNNNNNNNNNNNNNNNNNNNNNNNNNNNNNNNNNNNNNNNNNNNNNNNNNNNNNNNNNNNNNNNNNNNNNNNNNNNNNNNNNNNNNNNNNNNNNNNNNNNNNNNNNNNNNNNNNNNNNNNNNNNNNNNNNNNNNNNNNNNNNNNNNNNNNNNNNNNNNNNNNNNNNNNNNNNNNNNNNNNNNNNNNNNNNNNNNNNNNNNNNNNNNNNNNNNNNNNNNNNNNNNNNNNNNNNNNNNNNNNNNNNNNNNNNNNNNNNNGCGACGUUCCCCAACAAGUUACUCUCAAGAGGGGUGUUUAUUUGCUGUCAUUGCACGAGGGAGGUUGGUAACAAGGGUGUCCAGCCCUGCUUGACCAAAAUUAAAUCAAAACAAAACUCCUUGGGAAAGAUGAUAUGUUGGAGGGAACUCGUGAAUUCGGCUAGCCAUGGUUGUGUAUCAAUGGUGGAUAGGAGUUAAACUUUACAAUUAUGUUUGGGAACCACCUAUAAUGAGUUUAGCAUAGAAGACACCGAGAACCUUCGUCGUAAUGUUGACACUAAAGAACACCACUCAAAAUUAUAUUUUUAACUCUGCUUUAAAACUUGAGCUCUGACACCUCUGCAAAACAAUAUUUUCCUCUGCGAAGGGCCUAUCUAUCUACUUUUAUGUUGAGUCAUCACCCUCUUACUAAAAGCACCUCACCGGAGAGCACUAUUGUCAUUUUUAUGCAUCAAUAUUGGUACGAGUAUGACUAGGAUCUUUUCUAUUCUGAAUUAUAAUAUUUAGUCACUACUUGAAUCUCACAGGUGCUCUACAUUUAUAUUUUGCGGUCUCGGAAAGGGCUAGCAAGAUACCAUGACACCAUAUUAUAUCGUGAUUGUUUUGAACAAUUGUUGGCAUGUGAGAUAUCUUAUUAUUGCUUACUAGUUGGUUAUGUAUUUCCAUGAUUGGAUAUGAUGCUUAAACUAUUAUCAUGGAUGUGUUCAUUUAUGAUUUAUGCUGAAAACUAUAACAUUAGCUAAGCAUGUGUAUAAUAACAAGAACAAAAGAGUUUGUAAAAGUUUUCUUUAUCACUUUCAGUUUAUCACCAGAACUACCUUGGUGUUAUUUUUGUGUAGAAAUAAAAAUUAUAGGAAUUAGACGAAACUUUUUGUGAAUUAUUUUAGGAAUUUAUAACGAUUUAUGAAGCGAAGACCUGUCGAAUUGGAAGUUUCACGGGGGUUGAUGGCUUGUGGGGCCCUCUAGGCUCCUCCGACCCUAAUUCCAGUCCUAUAAAUUCAUAUUCUCCGAGAGAGAAAUAAGAGAGAAGUUUUCAUCGUGUUUUACAAGACGGAGCCGCCGCCACCUCCUGUUCUUCCUUCGGAGGGCUGAUCUGGAGUCCGUUUAGGGCUCCGGAGAGGGGGGGAUUCGUCGUCGUCAUCAUCACCAUCCCUUCUCCAUCAACACCACCAUGAUGCUCCCCACCGGGAGUGAGUAAUUCCUUUGUAGGCUUGAUGGACAAUGAUGGAAUUGGAUGAGAUUGAUCAUGUAAUCGAGUUAAGUUUGAUAGAGCUUGAUCUCUAGCAUCCACUAUGUUCUGAGAUUGAUAUUACUAUGACUUUGUUAUGCUUAUUGCUUGUCACUAGGGCCCGAGUGCCAUGAUUACAGAUCUGAACCUGUUAUGUUUUCAUGAAUAUACGAGUGAUUUGGAUCCUAUCUUGCAAGUUAUAUUUACCUAUUACAUGUCUUAAUCCACAUACCCCAAGGUGACAAUAAUUAGGAUUCUUUUCGAUGAUUGUCGUAGUUUGAGAAGUUCAUUAUCUACUAUGUGUUAAUGCUUUAUUCCGGAUCUCUAUUAAAACGAGGCAUUAAUAUCCCUUAGUUUCCAAUAGGACCCCGCUGCCACGGGAAGGUAGGAUAAAAGAUGUCAUGCAAGUUCUUAUCGCAAGCACGUAUGACUAUAUACGGAAUACAUGCCUACAUCAUAUUGAUUAAUUGGAGCUAGUUUUGUGUCACCCUAGUGUGUAACUGUUAUAUGAUCAAUGUCAUCUAAAUCAUUAUCCACUGCCGAUCCAUGUGCCUACGCGUUACAUAUACUAAAUCUUGCAAAGUUAUUACUGUUGCUGCUACUGUCACACCUGCUACUAAAUUGCUAUUGCUACUACUAUUACCAAAAUUGCUGCUUUCACUUUUACUGUUACUACUAUCACUAGAUGUGCUACUAAAUAUUUGCUGCAGAAGGAUAUCCCAAGUGUGGUUAAAUUGACAACUCAACUGUUACGGUCAAUAAAUAUUCUUUGACUCCUCUUAUGUCGAAUCAAUAAACUAGGGUGAAAUACUAUCCGUGAAGACUGUCGCGAUCCCAUACACUUGUGGGUUAUCAAUCUUCAAUAACAUGUUUCUACGAGCCUUCUUAAAUGACCGGGAUUACUUUGAUGUAACCGAAGGUGUGUUUGUUGGGGCAUGAUGAAUUUCCACUUUAUGAUCAGAUUGUUCAUUGAAAUCAACUGAAUCUUUUGAGGCUAUGUUGUUGUAUAAUUAAAUAGAUUUGCAUUCUCUCCAAUCUAUCAAUCUUAUUUGGCCAAUUCCGAUGGGUUUCUUUAGAGGAAAUGGUGCUUUGCAGUUGGUUUAAUCUUGUGGUGAUCUAACCCAAUGACAAAAAAGGCCAAAACACGUAUUGUAUUGUUGUCACUAAGGAUAAAACGAGGGAUUUUUGUUGUAUUGAUUGACUUCUUCAUGUCUACAUUAUUUCAUCCUGCUCAUUGUGAUACAUGGUUCUUGCAAAUUUCAUACCUUGAGAUGCAUGUCGGAUAGUCGUUUAGGGGUGAAGUUGUAGUAGUCGAUGAAAUUGACGUAACAGUCUACUUAUAAUAGAUUGAAUGCCUAUGGCGGGAGCGGCAAUGGCACUAGCGGAGCAGGCGACACAAAUGGAGACAGAGUAGACGACAUGGAUGGCCGUGGAAGAGGAGGCGGCGCAGAUGUCGUCCGACAAGUGAUCCAUCAUGCUCGUACUUGCGUUUCAUUUUGGCAUGUCCGGUUGUUGAAGUAUAAUUUAUUUAUUUUUGUCCGCAUUGUUGAACACCUGAACUGUUGAAUUGUGAUGAAUUUGUGUUAUAUGAUCCACAUGCAUGGAUUGCAUGAAUUUGAGGGUUCGUAUUUGAGCUGUGUGAUUGUCCAGCAACCCAUAUAACUAGUCGUCUCGCAUUAUCCACACGUGUGCACGGGCCCACUCGUGGAUGUAUAGGGGGCGAAAAUAUUUAAGAACACACAACAACGCUAAGAUUUGAAAAUGAUGUUGCUUUUUUUAAAACAUACAAUAAAAACGUGAACAAUUUUGCAUUGUUCAAUAUUUUUUAAACACAAAUAAUUUUCAAAAUUCCAAACGUACCUACAUUUUGAAAUAUGUGAACAAAUGUUGGUAUUUCAAACAUAUUUUUAAAUUAAAAUAUAUGACAAAACCCAAACAAAGUUAGAUAUCCCAAACAAUUUUAAAUUGUGAAUAGUUUUUGAAAAUUACAAACUUUUUUUUUAAUAACAGUAACAAUUAAUUGAAAAAACGAACAUUUUUUUUAAAAAUGGAUCACUUUUUAUAUUGUGAAAGAAAAUUUGAAACCAUUUUUGAAUUUUUCAAAAUUGUGAACAAAAUUUUAUUUCCAGAUUAACUUUUAUGAAAUAUGAUUUUUUUUCACCAGUAAUUAUAUUUUUCAAACGUACCUACAUUUUGAANNNNNNNNNNNNNNNNNNNNNNNNNNNNNNNNNNNNNNNNNNNNNNNNNNNNNNNNNNNNNNNNNNNNNNNNNNNNNNNNNNNNNNNNNNNNNNNNNNNNNNNNNNNNNNNNNNNNNNNNNNNNNNNNNNNNNNNNNNNNNNNNNNNCGUACCUACAUUUUGAACAUUUUCCGAAACAUUUUGACUACAAUGAAAAAUGUAAACACCAAACGAGAAGCAAAAUAAUAAAAAACGAACACAAAAUACGGAAAAAGUUAAUUAAGAAAACAAAACUGAAACCAUCAUAAUUGGGUGGCCUCGCACGUACUAGAAGUGGGCCAGCCUAGUCCGUCCGUCGUCAGUUCUGUGUUUCACCAGUAAUUAGAGGCAUUUUGCCUAGCAAAAAAAAGAAAAAGCAAUGCGAGGCACUCAGCGAUAUAUUAGAGUUUUUCCGGCAAGCACGUAGAUUCUCCGAAAAAAAUGAGAAUUAAACGAACCUUGCUCUUUAUCAGCAGCCAGAGUGAGCCGAAAGAGAAAGACCCACUGCGUUGAUAUGCCNNNNNNNNNNNNNNNNNNNNNNNNNNNNNNNNNNNNNNNNNNNNNNNNNNNNNNNNNNNNNNNNNNNNNNNNNNNNNNNNNNNNNNNNNNNNNNNNNNNNNNNNNNNNNNNNNNNNNNNNNNNNNNNNNNNNNNNNNNNNNNNNNNNNNNNNNNNNNNNNNNNNNNNNNNNNUUUUUUUUUUUGCAUGAUGAAAACGAUUUUAAUUCCAUAAUGAUAGGGUUAUAUCCAGGUGGCACAAGAGCCCGAGUACAAAAAGGACAAUGUUGCAGCCAUACAGCAGUACAACACUCAAUGCGACUAGUUACAGUUAAAUAAUCCUUGCUCUUUCUUCCAUCAUUCUGGUGCACUUAGAGCAGCAAUAAUACUACACCUACAAACGUAGUUACCAAAUCUUAUGUAAUUUUCCUUCAUCAUAUUCUCUUCCCGUCCGCCCCCCCCCCCNNNNNNNNNNNNNNNNNNNNNNNNNNNNNNNNNNNNNNNNNNNNNNNNNNNNNNNNNNNNNNNNNNNNNNNNNNNNNNNNNNNNNNNNNNNNNNNNNNNNNNNNNNNNNNNNNNNNNNNNNNNNNNNNNNNNNNNNNNNNCCCCCCCCCCCCCCCCAAAUUCUAGCAGGUGGACCCUGCCUCCCUCAUGUUCCUAAGGAAAAUUGUUCGUUUCUGUGAUAAUACAGAUUGAUCAAGUAUCUCUUUUAUUGAUGAUCCAAGGAUUAUAUACAUGGGGAACCGUCGCCACGAAAGGACACGUCCGAUCGUGGGGGCGCGGGCAUGUCGAACGGUUGCCAUAAGCAAUCGACGGCAAUUUACACAAGGGAGGAUUAUCCCUAAUUAUAGAAUUAAUUUAAAUCCUAACAGUUUCAACCGUCUGAUUUCAUAGCUCCCUAAGCCGCUUGCUAUGCUCGCCACGUGUCCGUUAGGCCCACCCACCGCGUGCGGACCACCUCAUUCUUAUCUUUGAGUGACGUAUAUGAAACCAGCCAUUCCUUAUCUAUUUUCUCUAGAUCCCCUUCGUCUCUAUCGCUCAUUUCUCAUGCUGCUCCUCGCCAUGGACAUGCCUUUUCUUUUCUCUGCCACCAGUAUUGCUGGCCUGCGGCAGCUGGGGACAUUGGGUUGCAGACAGGCAGCCGCUCGACAGUCGCCGCAGGCGGGGCUGACUCAAGCGGCAGUGGCGGUGGCUCAAGAAGUCGUGAACACACCACACCUUCUCAUAUCUUUCCUACGCUUCUUUGCUACACAGCCAUCAACCCAUAGAAGAGAAGUAGAAGAGGAUCGAUGUGAGGCAUCCAUAAACGAAGCUUGUCACCCGAUCGACCACCGCCGGUGAACCAAUCUUGUGACCGUUUCUUCAUGCGGGCGGUGACAAAGGGGGGACCCCUGCUGCAAGGCAGGCUCGAUGCGGCGAGCACCGUCCGUGGAUGCAAUGAAGUACCAUGAGAGCUGCAACGGAGCUUUUGCCCGGGUUCAACAACGCUAAUUUGAAGCAGUGGCGCGUCUACAGUUGUUGUGAUCCAACGGACACAAGCGCGUUGAUCGGACGGCUGCCUAACCGGAUGAUUUCUUUCCCGUUGUUUCGUAGUAAUCCCCUAUUUCGUAGGUGAACAUCCAGCCAAAGCAAUCAUAUAGUGCAUCCCGGUCCACGAUCGGACCAGCUGGACGACGCCAAACGCGGGGCACGUCGUCUAGUCUACCAGAAAGAAGAACAAGAAGAGAAUUUAACCAGACUAUUCGUGGAACAAUUAAUGGUACGUACGUACAGAUUUUCCAGGGCGGACAAAUCAGCAUGCAGCCAGCCCGAUUCCAUCGAAGCCUCCUCACGGUAUCAACGUGGCACAUGUGAUCGACUUGGAUCACCUGGGGUUCCCCGGCCACCUGGUUGGCUGGCGCAACUCGAGUUACCACCCGGUCUUUUUUUACCAAAAAAAAAAAGACAGCACGAGAACGAGUACACGUACGUAGCCAUCAGCAGUUUAUUUUUCGGGGAAAAGCCACGCUUGCGGCUUGCAUAGGCUCGGCGUAAGCCCGUAACACGUGGAUGCAUGCCCCACGUGUCUGUCUGCCACUCACUGGUGCGUUGGUGCUUCGUAUUGCACGUGACCGCCAGCGCAUGAGGAAUGCAGGUAGGGAUCAUCUGACGGGAAAGGGCAGUAAAAGCGAGUGCACGGAGCGCGUGAGAUCUUUCAUGGCCGAUCGAUGUCGGUGAGGUGGAACGUGGAAGCGCGUACGCUGUCGGGCCGGCUGACCUGGACUGCCUGCCACGUGCUCGACUGGUGCUAAUCCGAUCCAACGCGUGCGAAAUGUUAGAAAUAAUUAAUAUGUAUUAAUUAUGUAAUUAAUCAAUACUAUGUCGGUUGUUCUUUUGGCAACCGCCUCUUUUGUAAACCGUCGUGUAUUGGAUAUAAAUAUCCCCAAUUUCCAUCAAUGAGAGAGACCGUUCAUUCUAUCAUUCCCCUUCUCUGCUUUUACUCUUAAUACGUUAUCAGCACGAGGCACUCUACCAUGGAUUUUGGUUCAGAGCCCAAAGAAUUAUAGCAAUUUUGAGAAUAAAUACAUUUUCACAAAUUUCACCGAUUCCAUCAGAAUCAUAUAAAAUAAAGACUAUAUUUGUCGACAUAUAUUUAUUCUCAAAAUUGCUAAAACCUUUUGGGCCCUGAACCAAAAUCCAUGGUAGAGUGCCUCUUGUACUCAUAUUGGUUCACACAAAAGGAAACAAGUAAUGAAGAAUAGCACUCGCUCUACGAACGAGUGGUAUUUACCACAGUAAUACCUACUCCUCAUAAGUAUCUUUCAUAUGGAAUACUAAAAACUUUUCAUUCAUAGACAAAGUCAAUGAGGUGGUGAGAAAGCGAGGCUUGUAGCAAAAGGGUUCACGAAGAGACCCGACAUCAAGUUAUGAUGUAACAUACCCUCUCGGUAUGAGUGGAAUUAAGUUUCGAUAAUAAAUAUCAUUGGCAGUACAAAUAAUAUUAUCCAUGCAGUUAAUGAAUGAAGUGACUACAUAAUCAUAUGGGUCACUCGUUUCGGAAAUAUAUAUUAAAGUCCCUGAAGGGCUUACAAUUCCGAAUCCAAAAUAAAUCGCAACAUAUUUGUGUAAAAUUUCAAAAGUCACUCUAUGACUAGAAAUAGUCGUGAAUCAUAUGGUACUACCGACUAGACGAGUUCCUCUUCACAGGAUUACUCAAAGGAUGAUGAUUGUUUGUGUAUUAAUAAAGAAAUACCAAAAUUUUAUUUCCUUACAUCACCCCAGUGUAUAUGAUGAUUUCAUCAUCAAUGUCUCUACAAGACCUAAACAUACAUAAAAUCAUCUCAAGACGGAAAAUUUGGAUUCAACCAAAUUUGGCUUAAGUUUACAACUUGAGCAUUUUAUCAAGAAUACGUAUCAGUCUACAUAUAUCUAAACAUAUACAAGAAGUUCAAUUUGGAUAUAUCAUAUCAAUAAAAGACAUGUAUGGUCAUACUACCUUUGAUAAGGUACAAAUCCAUUCAUUCCUAGGGGUGAUAAUAAAGUGACACUAGGACCUGAAGUUCUAUAUCUUACUAAUGCCAAAGCACUCAUAUACUUGCAAACUACGUCAGGCCUGACACUAUAUUUGAUACCUUUAUUCGGAGUGCGACCUCAAACAAAAGGUAUAUGAUUGAUAUAAGUACUAUCAUCUUAUAUCUAAAGAUUACAGUAAAUCUUGGAUAUUUCCAUCAGGAAAUAGAAGAUAUGACCAUGAUAUGAUGUAAUGAUAUUGACUCUUUAUUUGAUCCCAACAACGCCAUAUCAAUGACUGAAUUUGCUGGAAUAGCCUUCACAUGGAAGUCAUAUAAAUGGAUUUUAAUGGUUAUUUUCAGUUAUCAUUCUGACAUAAUUGAUUUAUCCUAAAGCAUUGCAAAAAUAUGUAUGGCUUGACAAAAUGAUUAACCACACUCAAAAUUAUGUGGUUGAGAUUCAUCAGAAUCACAUAACUUGAUUUAUCAAGAUACUUUCAUUUGUGUUACUCAAUACCUACAUGUUAUAUAAAGAGCAAUAUCAUAAAUCACAUCGCUCGAAAAUUACUUAUCCUCACGGAUUAUAGAAAAGCGAGGAAAUAAUUUGUAAACAAAUACUGUGAUAAUCCAACAAAUUAUACACAACUUCAUGUUCAUGUCAAUGGAAUUGGUAUGAGACAUCCUUCAUAUUUGCAAAGUUCAGGGUAAGUAAUCUCCCAAACUAUAACCUAUUAACAAUUAUGAGAUUGCAUAUAUUGUACUCUUUUCCUUGAUGAGUUUUCCCUAAUGGUUUCUCAUAAAAGGUUUUUAAUUGAGAUAAUAUAAACACAAGUAUCUAUAUAUGCCAUAUCAUUUUCUCCUUAUAUUUUUCCCACUGGGUUUUAAAGGAGUUUUCAAUGGCAUGUACAAUUGCACUCUUUUCCCUUAUGAGUUUUCUCCCAAAGUUUCUCAUAAUGGUUUUUAAUGAGGAAAUAUCUUCUCAAAGAUCAUAUGUUAUACUUUCUAUUUCCCUACCGGGGUUUUUAAAGGAAGUACUCAAGACAUAUCAAUUGUUCUCUAAACUCAUCAAUGAGUUUUCUCCUUCUACAAAGGUUUUUUCAAAUGAGUUAUCACGAGACAAUAAUCAUUAUAUGUUGUAUCAUUUUCUUCUUAUUUUUCCCACGGGGUUUAAAGAAGUUUUAGCAACAUAUCUAUACUAUUCUCCUCAUAUUUUUUCCACAGGGUUUUUGAAGAAGACUUUAAAGAUUAUACAAGGAUUUCUCAAGAUGGAAUGAUGAACAUUCUCAAGGACGAAGUUAUUUCUAAAAGAAGUCCUUAUCAAGAAGAUGGCUAUUUACAAGAUCAAGAAUUGAUUAGGGGGGGUGUUAGAAAUAAUUAAUAUGUAUUAAUUAUGUAAUUAAUCAAUACUAUGUCGGUUGUUCUUUUGGCAACCGUCCCUUUUGUAAACCGCCAUGUACUGGGUAUAAAUAUCCCCAAUUUCCAUUAAUGAGAGAGACUGUUCAUUCUAUCAUUCUCUGCUUUUACUCUUAAUACGAAAGACGCUGUCGAUAUAUAUACUGAAACUAAAGAAGCAUCACGUGUACCCGGACCCAUGUGAGCAGUGCCGCAGGUGCACCACCGCCACCGCUCGUGCUCGCCCUGGUUUUGAUUGCGUCGGCGUUGUUCACAGGCGGGAGCCAGCGCCGGCGGCGACCAAGACUCCAUGGGAAGACUUCGUCCGCCUUAUUCUUCCUCAUCUUCCCACUUGGGUGGCAGACACAGCCAGCCAGGGGCUUGCGGCUCCUCUACUGUCCCUUUCGUUCGUCAGUAGGUGAGAGUCGACACAAGACUACAGGAUUUUUGUCCAAAAGGACCCCCUGUCGAGUGGGAUUGUCAAAAAAGACCACCUGCGAGUGCAAACGGCUAAAAAGACCCCCACCCCGGGCGGCGGCAGGCGCGCCAGGCGGCACGUGGCACCUGCCGCCACCGCAGGAGGCGGCCGUGGGGCCUGCCGCCACCGUCUCUGGCGGCCGGGGCCUGCCGCCACCGCCCCUGGCGGCCAGCGCGGGAUCCGUUCCCGAUUCCUCCUGCCCGUAACGGACAAGGCCGGGUGGGCCCUGCCGCCUCGGGAGCAGGCGGCCAGGUGCAUUUUUCCGCGCGCCGGCACUGUUGCUGAUUGAUUGCGCUGAUUCCGAUGCUCUUUCCCGCUCGAAUUUUUGCCGCGCGGCCGGGCAGAACUGUGGGAUUUUUUCCCGCUCUCGACCGACGAAACAGUGCGAAAUUUACUCCUUUGCUCAGGUGAGAAGCUGGACAGUAAGUUUAAUCAGCACGAUACAUACCAGCAGCGCCGAGCCAGGAUUGAAACAGAUGGCAAAUGUGUAUCCUAUCCCAGUCACACAAUAUACAAGUGCGAGGAGUAUGAUGUAAUUAUCUCCAAUUGAUGAUCUCGGAUUGUUGAAGUAGUAAAACAUGGAGAGGUAAAUGAUUGGCUUUAAAACUGUGCUGAAAUGAUCGAUUGUAUCCCUGGCAAGAAAGUAUGGCAAUGAGCUCAUCCCAGAUUCUCUUUCCCUCAAGUACUGCAAUCUUGCACAGAAGAGCUGCACCAUGGAUUCGUAGUAACUUAAGUCAAAGAGCUUUCACAGAGUUAGGUAUAACAAGGUGGUGUCUGAAUAAUUGAACUUACAAACGGCAAUCCUUUUGAACAAAAAUAUUGUGCAAGUUGCACAGAUGGCUAAGUGCAUGGGAGGCAUAUACUACGGAUAUUUUGUUGGGCCGUGGUUAUCCCCCAUCCCUCGAACCAAACCAAGAUAUCCACGCUGGUGAAGGCGGGCGGAUUUUUCCGUGGUUUCACGGGGCUCUCAUCUUCGGGUCAGCAUUGUUCACCGCGGCGAUUUCAGAGGGACUCUUUGUGUCCUGGUCGACACUGUUCGUUACGGUGGUUUCGUGGGGCUUUUAUCUCUAGGUCGACGAGCAGUGCAAUAGUUUCCCGCCUAAUUUUCCCGCGUUAUUUUCCCGCCAAAUUUUCCCGCUGCAGUUUCUCGUUUUCGCUCCCUUUUUUCCCGUGUAGACAUCCGGCUGAGCCUAUAAAAGGAGGCAGGGAGUGAAACUCUCUUCACCAUCAGACAGACUUCAAAGCACCUGCACCUCCAUAGUCAGUAUGAGGUUGCCUUGUUCGGAUCAGAGCAUUAGGCCUAGGAAAAUGCAGAGUGCAAGCUUGCCUCGGGGGGUGGAAGCAGUUCGAUGUUGGUGCGGAGAUGUCUGCAAGGUGAAGGAGGUGACGGAUUUUCAGAUUGGUUGGGCAUGAAGUUUUUCAUGUGCGCCAAUUAUGAAUCUGAUCCACCCGAAUCUAUUUCUGCGUACGUCAGGCCUCCGGUAUGCUCAAGUCAUCCAGAUUAUUGUUAUUUGAUAUUAUUGUUUACUUGAAUCUGAUCCAUCCUUUAGUCUCCUCCUCCUCUCUGCAUGUACUAUCGUUGGAUUGACACGGAAAUGUCGGACUGGGCGGUGACCGAGAUUCGUGAAAGAGGUCGCCGUGCAUGGGCUAUCUUGGACUUGGAAGAGCGUCGUGAGAAGGCUGAAGCAGAGGAGAAAGCAGAGCAGAAGAAAGAGUGGGAAGAUUACUGUGUGGAGCAGAGGGCUUUUCUUGAUGAGAUGAUAAGGAAAAAUCAAGAAGAGAAACUUCGGCUGGAGGAUGUUUACAGACAGCGGGAACAGGCCCGUGAAGCUGAGAGGGAGAGAAAGAGAGAAAGGGCUCGUGCCGCCAAGGCAGCAGAAGAAGCUGGUGAUGGAAAAGGAAAAUAUCCACGUUGGACUCAGUAGAUUUAUUUUAUUGUAUGUUAAGUUGUCUUAGUUGUAUCUUAUUUCUGCAAGAUGUAUCUUAAUUUCGGCAAAUUGUAUCUUAGUUUCCGCAAUGGGUAUCUUAAUUUCAGCUACGUGUAUGUUCAUUUUAUCCCGCCAUUUAUUUUCCGCCUCGCUUUCCCGCCAUUUUUUCCCGCAUAUAGCUUUGCCGCCAGUUUGUUCCCGCCCUUGCUUUCCCGCCCUCGCUUUCCCACCCUCGCUUUCCCGCCAUUAGUUAUUCGUCUCGCUCUGCUGCACCUAUAAAACCCCCUCCAGACCAAGGUCGGUAAGGAGUGUGCUGAAAAUGUCUCAUUAUCCUUUCGAUCCUAGUUUUCAUAGUGGUAUGUCUGAGUGUCUUCUGCGCUUAGCUAGCAAUUUCAAGAUAGAUAAUAGAAUAGUUUCAUGGGACGAACUCAUCAGUAGUGACACGCUACUGAAUGAGGUUGCCCACGCAUUAGCUAGGAAGGGGUGGCCUGCAAGGACAUAUGAGGAGAUUCGGAAAAAACUUCUGCGGUUGAAUGAAAGAUGGAAGAAGAAAGGCCAACACAUACACUUUAGAUGUGAAUGCCGUUUUUUGAGUGGCAUCACACAACCCUCGGUAUGUGUGAGAAAGCAAAGCAGAACCAAAGCUAUAUGGUGGAUUUUGGGGUAAAGGUUCGUCAACUAUCUUUGCGGCAAAAUAGAUGAGACCAGGCAAAACUACAUUCCCGUGAGAAUUAGGAAACAUCACACCGAAGAGCCACAACAAAUAUGCAAACAAGUGUCUCUUCGUUGUCUCAGGAUCAGCAUGGGUAGAUAAAAUUUCGAAGUUAAUACGAAGCCAGCUGUGUGGGACACCUCGAGGCGGACCAGAACGAUCUGAUAUGGGCAUUUCGAGCCUCAGACGGGCAGAGACAUCUGCUGGCCAAUUAGGAGAAACUCGUGGAUGUACCACUGGCACACCUCUAAUUGGUAAAGUUGUGAUCAUUGACACAUCUUUUAGAGUAGGUGCAAGCUCUCCACAUCGAAAGUGAAAUGUGUGGGUCUCCGGUCUCCAUCUAUCAACGAGGGAUGUCAAAAGGGAUGGGUCGGCAGUAAAACUACCUCGACGAGCUGCGAUGUUCGCAAAAUGUAGGAGUCCAUAAGCCUCAAGGUGUUCAAGGAACCGAUUCUCUAUUGACCAGGGCGUCUUUACAGUUCGAAGCCGGAAGGUCUGAGGAGGAUUUUCAUGAUUUGGAUUUAUGAAAAGCUGGCAACGGUGGUGGUUGUCGUGAUAACCAUUCAAAAGCUGGGGCAUUUCAGCCAUAACCUGCAAUCACGAUGAAAAAAAUUAAAUAUUCCGAAUAUUACAUCACGAUUAAAUUAAAAUAUAUGUUCCGAAUAUUACAUCACGAUUAAAUUAAAAUACAUGUUCCGAAUAUUACAUCACGAUUAAAUUAAAAUACAUAUUCCGAAUAUUACANNNNNNNNNNNNNNNNNNNNNNNNNNNNNNNNNNNNNNNNNNNNNNNNNNNNNNNNNNNNNNNNNNNNNNNNNNNNNNNNNNNNNNNNNNNNNNNNNNNNNNNNNNNNNNNNNNNNNNNNNNNNNNNNNNNNNNNNNNNNNNNNNNNNNNNNNNNNNNNNNNNNNNNNNNNNNNNNNNNNNNNNNNNNNNNNNNNNNNNNNNNNNNNNNNNNNNNNNNACAUCACGAUUAAAUUAUGAAUACAUAGCAUGAUUACAUAUCACGCAGUGUUGUUGUUACGAUACGGACAGUCCCUACGCGGGUGACCAGCACACCUACAUACGCGGCAUCGCCUUGGUUCUCCCAACUGGCUGUGGUCCAUGUCAUUGCGAUGACGCCUAGACUGACGCCGUCCCUUGCUGGUUCGCAUCAAUGCGGGAUCUGGAACCCAUGUGGUGCCUUCUGGCCAUAAUUGCUUGUAGUUCGUAUCAAUGCCCCAUGCCCAAAGCUCACCGUUCCAAGUGUUAUACAAAUUGUGCAUGUUGAAGUAUGGUGAUACGUACGGCUCGACACUAAUUUGUUGAUCUGCAGCUGCCCGCAAUACGUGACUACAAGGAUAUCCCAGAAGCUUGGGCUUGUUGCAAGUGCACUCAUACGAGGUUGCGCCAAGCGUCACAGCUUGUUUUUUUGCUCCCCUGUGGUGACCCUUCACAAACUUUGCUCGCACACUAACUUCCCAUUUAUUCCUAAGUGCAUCUACCUGCCUGCACCCAUGUCUUUGCGACUUCUUUGCUUUAUCAUCAAGAUGUCUUUGCAUCUUCUCAGACCAGGUCUUGUUCAAAUCAACUAGCGCCUUGGCAACGGUGACUCUAUCUGCAAAGUAUGACACAGUCCGGUUCCAAGUUUCAUCAAUUAGUGCUGUGAUAGGUAGUGCCCUCACCCCUUUAAGAACACCAUUGUACACCUCGGACAUGUUGCUUGUCAUUAUACCGUAUCUAGCGCCAGUGUCAUGAGACUGCGCCCACUUGUACAAAUUGGGACAAUUCUCAUUAAUCCACUGGCUCAAAUUUAUUGCUCUUCGACGACCCCUCCGGUCUUCUCUCGCCUGGAGGGAUGCGCGCUCGAUCUGACCAUUGAUACCUGCCCAGAUAGCACUCAUUUUUGCUGUAGUUUUCUGCAUGCACAUCCUCUUGAAUAGCUUGAACCAAUCUUUGUUUUUGAAUUUUGAAUAAAAGUUAGCUGCCAAAUGCCUCAUGCACCACCUUGUCUCCAGAUCGGGCCACCCCCAAUCUGGAUCUGGUGAAGCCUUAAUUAUCUCAAGCGCGCUUAAUAGUCCGGUGUUGCGAUCAGAGAUGAUGCAAACCCCUUCCCGGUCUUUGAUGACACCCAUCUUCAGGCAACAUAGGAACCAUAGCCAACUAUGUUUGUUUUCGCUCUCCACUAGUGCAUAGGCAAUAGGAAGAAGUUGAUUGUUUGCAUCAGCAGCCAUCGCCACUAAGAGUGUGCCCUUGUACUUUCCUGUGAGAAAUGUACCAUCAAUUGAUACAACCGGACGACAAUGCUUGAAUGCUUGUAUAGUCUGGGCGAAUGCCCAGAAUAAGCGAUCCAGGAUUUGCUCGUCCGGGUUCAAUGGAUUUGGACGUUCUUUCCGGAAAACUUGAGUCCCCCUAUUAGCAACUGAAAUCUGAUGCAGCAUUCUAGGGGCAAAAGAGUACGCCUCCUCAUAGGUUUCAUACAACCUCUGAAAUAUCUUUUCCUUUGCAUGACGAGCCUUGCUAUAGCUGACAGGGAAACCAAUCAGAUCAGAUGCAGUUGCACGCAAAGCCCUAAUACUAAUAUUAAUACUUUGCUGCACAAUGGUUUGCAUCACCUGUGACACAUAUUCUGCAGUCACGUUGCGGUGCUCUGAAAGAGUGCCGGUUUGCUCACAACCAUGUUGCUCUAUUUUUGUGACAUGCCAUGGCUGACAUACCCCAGGCUUCUGGCGAGCAAUAACUCUUCCGCGGCAACCCGCUUCGCGAUGGAUGCAUAUGAGCUUCAACUCCUUUUUAUCAGACUGCUUCACUCUAUGUUGCCUGUGUAUAGCAAUUGCAUAGCUAUGUAUUGCUUGUUUAGCAGAUUUCUUAUCUGGGAAAAUCUGUCCAACGGCCAGACUCCCCGCGUCUAGGCCAGCAACAGAGUGAAAUUCAUUGGUGAUGCUCAUAACCUGUAAAAACUCUGGAUUGAUUGCUGCAGCGACCGCAUUCUCAGGAGGAACAACUUCAUCAUCAUCUGAUUCCGAAGACGCAGAAGAAUGACCAUCAUCGUCAUCAUCUAGCGCCUCCGGCAAUCCCUCGACAUGUUCGCUCAUGUCAACGACCGCAGACCAAUAUCCCGUGUCAUACACUUGAUGGCCACCUGUUGGUUCCGUAGGGCCGGCGUCGGGGGCUACAGUUAUGGCCAUAUGUUCGCCACCGCUUGGUUCCGAUGGGCCGGCGUCGGGGGCUACAGUUGCGGCCAACUCGGCCUCACCGGCACCGCUACUGCACUCGGCGACAUCACUGGCAGAAAUGAACUCCACAUAAACCAUGGGUUGUCCAUACAUGGAGUUAUUGGGAUUGCUUGCAAAACCCAUGUACGACGCCCAUGCUCUUUCACCGGUAACCCGUCGCAAAACCCAACGAUUUCCUCCCUCAACCACGAAAGCCUCCAGGGUCAUUUUUUUUCCAUUCAUCGCUGAACCAAACACCGAUCGGAUGCACCUUCUAACUGCCGCAUACUCUACAUUAACCAUGUCUUUCACUACAACCGUAGUCAUCCCGCACCUAGACACAUCCACACCAGAAGGACCCUCACGUACGAUGUGCCCAUAAAACACUAACAAAUUUUCCAUAGUACCUAACGAGCAGCCAUAUUUACAUCGUUAGUCCAUUAAAAAUCAUAUUUUUAGAUUUACAUUGUAAUAACAACAUCCAUUACUUAUCUUUUUUACAUAUAACAAUUUAACAACAUCCAUUACAUCUACGCAUAAUAAUUUAUAUUGUAUCAUUUAUCGUCACACUACAUCUAUAAAAUAAAUAGAAGAUGAAUUACAAUAUGUCAUUCAUACCUCUGGUUGGCAAAUUACAUACUGCAUAUAUAUAUAUGCGGCAAAAUACAUACUGCAUAUAUAUAUAUAUCACGAAUCAUAUUUCUACGGGGUUGGCAAAUUAUCAAAUAAACAAAUAUAUUACACACGCGUCUUGCAUGUAAUAAUACUAAUGAAGCUAACAUAUUAUUACAUGUUUUUUACAAAAAUGCUAGUUACAUAUGCAUUUCUUCGGCUCCUUUUUAAAUACCAGUUGCAUGCAAACACGAACAAAUCAUCGGUAAUAUAUGAACAUAGUCGACCUAUUAUCACAUGAACACAAAUAUGAACAAAGUCUCAUACCUUGAUCUUCAACUUAGUAGUUCAUAUCGCAUGACAAAAUAGUUCCACAAAAGUGAUAAUACGCUCCCUAAGACAAAAGAAAACACAUACUUAGAAACUAAUCAAACAAAAUAAAAACAUCAUGCAUGCAAACACGACCAACAGAAAUGGAAAGCUCUUACCUUGAUCUAUCUUUUCUUCAACUACAACGUCUUCAAAAUAGUUCCACAAAAGUGAUAAUACGCUCUCUAAGACAAAAGAAAACACAUACUUAGUAACUAAUCAAACAAAAUAAAUACAUCAUGCAUGCAAACACAACCAACAGAUAUGGAAAGCUCUUACCUUGAUCUAUCUUUUCUUCAACUACAACGUCUUCAAAAUCUCACUUUAACCCAUCCCAAAUCGCCACAUAAACAUUCAUACGGAGUGAGAAAGAGAAGAGAGUGAGAAAGAGAAGAGAGUGAGAAAAAGGAGUGACACGGGAGGCAACGACAGGAGAAGAGAGUGAGAGAGGAGGCAGCGACGCGGUUCGCUUAUAAAGGAGUAAAUUUCGCACUGUUUCGUCGGUCGAGAGCGGGAAAAAAUCCCACAGUUCUGCCCGGCCGCGCGGGAAAAAUUCGAGCGGGAAAGAGCAUCGGAAUCAGCGCAAUCAAUCAGCAACAGUGCCGGCGCGCGGAAAAAUGCACCUGGCCGCCUGCUCCCGAGGCGGCAGGGCCCACCCGGCCUUGUCCGUUACGGGCAGGAGGAAUCGGGAACGGAUCCCGCGCUGGCCGCCAGGGGCGGUGGCGGCAGGCCCCGGCCGUCAGAGACGGUGGCGGCAGGCCCCACGGCCGCCUCCUGCGGUGGCGGCAGGUGCCACGUGCCGCCUGGCGCGCCUGCCGCAGCCCGGGUGGGGGUCUUUUUAGCCGUUUGCACUCGCAGGUGGUCUUUUUUGACAAUCCCACUCGACAGGGGGUCCUUUUGGACAAAAAUCCAAGACUACAAGAGGAGAAAAUAUCUUACCAGCCAUACGUCCGGUCCAUCCGUCCAUUCCAGCUUUGACCGCUAUUUCCUCCCUUCACGGCCUUCCCUUUCCUUCCGCUGUCACUCCACUUCACCAUUCCCUCCAUCUCAAGCCAGCUCCAACGCACGCCCCCUAAAUUGUCCGGGUUUGUCCGUUUCGAUUCAAACGAACAAGGAAGACGACCCAACACACAAUCAUAUAAGUAAAGAAAAGUCCGUUUUUAUCCGUCUGGAUGCCUUCGCGGACGCAUUUUUGAUUCGGUUUUACGGUAAAACAGACACGAAACGGGCAUGCAAGCACGCGUCCUCUCGUCGUCCGUCUCAGGCCCGCGUGUCAGCCGUCCAAUUACCUCUGACCGUUCCCAUUUAAUCCACGCGCAUGGGCGGAUCUGUCGGCCAGCCGCCCUUGGCCACAUCCUUUUUUAUGAUGAUGUUGUGAAAUGGUAUGACCACUUCCUCUUUCUCACUCCAUUGCUCCCUUCGUAUCCGAUAUCAAACCCUAAUGCCACCCACCUCUCACCCCGCCUGCCCAUCGUCAUGGGGUUUUGGAAGUGGCAUCCCGGCAAGAAGGGCCGCCAUGACCACGAGGCCGGCUCAUCAACCACCUCACUCGGAAGCGCGGCGAACCUCUCCCUCUCAUUGACGGCAUUCUUCAUCUUCGCUCCGACGGCUUCGGUGCACGAUCGACGGUACAUGAAGGUGGACAUAUGCCGCCGCUACCAUGGUCGGAUGCCCCACCUCCUCAAUAGGUGGCAUCUGAGCCCAAAUCGGGUGUCGAUCCCCUCCGUCCCGGCGAGUGACAGUGACCGCCUGGAGGAGAUCACGUGCCCGCAUCCAGCGGGAGUACCUUGCCGACCCAAGGUACGCAAGACUCGCCGCUCUGGGACACUUGGUUCCAGGAUGAGCAUGACAUGCGCUCACAAACCUACUUUGCCGGUCGUGCUUGUAGUUUGCCUCGCGCGACGCGUUGGCGCGUGCCAAGCCCGCCAGAGUGCGCGGCCGGACUUGUUUCUGCGGUCUGACGUUGACGCCCUCUCCCUCUCCGUCGCCAUCAUUGUCUACGGCUCCCGUCAUGACGAACCAGGAGGAGGAGCGACAGAUUCGAGAGGUCAUGGAAGACUUCGGGCGGGAGUAUAAGCGCCAACAAGAGGAGGAGUGGCAGGGGCUGGAGCAUUUGCUCGCCCUCUCGACCGUCGGCGACGUCUACGUGGCCGUCGACGUACAAGUUGUACGGACAGUCAUGGUCUUGGAUGGCCACGAUGAUAUGCAUCGGGCACAGGUACCGCAGUCGGUGUGGGAGCCGUGGCCACCAGCACCACCGCCACCGCCACCACCGCAUCCUGCACAGGACGUCAACCCUUUAUGAGGCCCGCCACGACGCCACUCCACCACUGGACGCCACCACCGCAUCCUGCACAGGACGUCAACCCUUUAUGGGGCCCGUCACGGCGCCACUCCACCAGUGGACGCCACCACCGCAUCCUGCACAGGACGUCAACCCUUUAUGCGGCCCCCCACGGCGCCACUCCACCACUGGACGCCGCCUUCAUUCAUUGACCGGACCCAAGACAAGUACGACAAGGACGGUGGCGUGUGAAGACGAUGGCGUCUAAGGACAACAUCGUCAGAUUUACGUAUUUUAUAGAUAAUCUAUAUUUAGUUAAGUGCCGGCCGUGAGACUAUCAAGGGAUUGUUUAAUUAUAUUCUUUUAUAUAAGUUUUAAAUUAGUUUGCAAUGCAUUUUUGUGUGUUUUUUGAAAUUUGAAUGUCUUUUUUUUAUUUGAUCCAACGCUAACAAUUUAUGAUAGGGCCGCGUUUUGGGUACUCGGAUCGAUGGACUGGCCAAAUCAGACAUAGACCUCCGUUUUGCCGAUCCAAAUAGAUGAAAUUCGGAUGAAACGGACUUUGGUUUGCGAUCGUGAGUUGGAGUUGGCCUCACCUCACCUUGUGGAUUGGUGCGAGUGAAAUGAAGGCGUGCAUAAGUGCAUUCUCCGGCGAGCCCUGCCGCAUGCAUGCUCACGCGAGGUCAGCGAACAAGGUCUCUGCAUGCAUGCAUGAUUUUUAAAGACCACGAGUUGAACGGGACGCUUGACUGGACCGAGACCGCGAGACGGACGGAGACACGGAGUCCUCCACCUCCAGGAGCACCGACAACCGAGUAGGUAGGUACGUACGUGCGUACGUGUACGCAGCCUCUAAGCUGCUCCGUGGGUCGUGCACGUGACUGCAUAUAUACGACCGAUGCGACCGGCCACGUAUGGAUUAAAGCGAGCCUGCAUCAUGUGACAGCCUUGAUGGCCGGCCGAUGAGGUGUCGCCGUGUCAUCGCUAUCAGGCAGGCAGGCAGCAAAGCGGAUCGAUCGAGCUCCUGGCUACAUCUCGCUGUCCAGUCCAGCUACGUACAUACGGUAUACGUACGUACGUACGUAGCGGCCAACCGGCGAUCCGCUCCAGACCUGUGACCUUCUUCUUUUAGAUGCCAGACUACGUGUGAUCUUGGUCUUCUUUUGUUGAGAGAAGGUCGUGCGAAGGUGCACGCGGCUUUCUACCGCUGGAACGAUAAAUGUGAAGAGGCACAAGAUGAACGCCGAGCGUGUGUGUGUAUGCAGAAAAGGCAGCAGCAGGCCUUGUUGUAGAUGGGGCGGUUGAUGCGAAAGUUAUAACCUGGAAGAAACGAAAAGAAGAUGAAUACACACCACACGGUACGCGAGUGAUGUUGCUUACUGGUAAGCAUCUCACCACUAAUUAAGCGGCUUAUUUAGUUAAGAAAGUUUCGUCAAUGCGUGAAUGCUACGCUGGAGCUGGAUCCUCGACCAAAAGUCGAUGGAAUUACCAGCCGGUCUACGUAGACGUAGCCAUCAGUGGUUGCUCACACGGACGUACACACGCUUGCAUUUGGCUCACUGCAACACGUGGAUGCAUGCCCCACGUGUCUGUCUGUCUGUCUGUCUGUCACGGGCUACAACAGGAAGUGAACGCGCUCGAGAGGUCUCCACGUACGUACACCGGUGCGUUGCUGCUUCGUAUUGCACGUGACCGCCAACACAUGACGAAUGCAGAUAGGGUUCAUGAGACGAAAAAAGGGUAAAAGCGAGUCGACGGAACCCGUGAGAUCUUUCAUGGCCGAUGGAUGAGGCUGUCCGGCCGGCUGAGCUGGAGUGGUUUGCUGCCACGUGGCCACCUAGUGACGAUACAAACUCAACCCGUGCCCUGGGUCCUUUUUUUUUUGUUAGGAUUAAAAUAGCAUUAGGCUGGUUGUAAUGGGGAGUAUCAUAUACUAGUACUCCCUCCGUUUUAAAAUAAGUGUCUUAAACUUAGUACAAAUUUGUAGUAGAGCUUAUCCCAAGUUGAGACAGUUAUUUUGGGACAGAGGGAGUAUCAUGCAUAUGAUACUAGUCUAUGAUACUACAUCCGUAAUGCAUAGUAUCAUAUGUUAGUAUCAUAGAAUAGGUAAUUUAUUGACAUGCAAGACACAAAGUAGCACAACAUUUAAUAUGAUACGGUAUCAUGAUAUGAUACUCAACUUUUGCUUUUUUCAUUUAAUUCUAUGCCACAUCAUCAAAGUUGUCUAGUUGGCAUACAUGAUACUAGCUAUGAUAUUUCCAUUACGACCAGCCUUGAAUUAGGCUAAUCAGACGGUUAGCGAUUUUUUAAAUAUUUUAUCUAACAGUUAGAAUGUUGGCUUUGCUGAUACGCUGUGCAUCUCAAACCCUCGUUAAACGACACGACGCAUCUGUGACCGACAUUGUCAACAUCCGUUCAAGACAUAUAAAUACAUGAAUGAAUCGUAUUUAACAAAAAUCAUUCCAUUCACUUCGGUCUUUCUUCUUCCUCUUCACUUUGUUCGUUGAUGACCGUUCAUACGAUCGAGACGAGAGCGGUUCGGUACUGCCAUGCCAUGCAUACGUCCAUGGCUGUGGACCAAAACCGAACAAGGAUCGUACGAGGCCGAGUAUGUUGGUAUUGCCAUUGCUAGUUGGUUGGGGUGGUUGAUCGGCGAGCCGAAUUUCCCCGUCCCACCAACCGAAUAGGACAAGUCACAUGAGCGUCUGUAAAUAAAUCAACGAAAACGUUCAAACCCUUGUGCAGCCAUUACGGGCAGCCUUAGUGCAUUUCCAACGCUGACGCUCGAUGUCCGGGCGUAUUAUGUCGUUCAAGGCCUUGUAUCGGUCGACGGUAGGAUCAGGUCAUAAUUUCUUCCAUAAAUCAAAAAUAAAUGUGGAGGGCUUUGCAGAAGUUUCGACCGUUGUCGCAUCCGUAUCUGCCUACUUUGAUCCAUCUAAAGCACUCAUUUUCUUGCCUGUGUCUGUUUUCUUUUUCAUUUGGCGUCAGCAGCCUGCAUUCGUGCCGAUUUAGAGUGGUCAUUCUUUAUUGAUGCCGGGCUAAAAUGGACAUGUCAUCUCACUGGCUCUACAAUUGAAGCCAAUAAUGGGCUUGUCCGCCGAUAAACCCACUCAGAUGCCAGACAUUGACGCACCCACACGGCUCGCCUCAUCGGAAUUCGCUAUUUAAAAACGAUGAUAUCCGGUUAACUCCAGGUCACAACAGAAGCUGCUCCACAUUUCCCUUCUUUGCCCCACAUUUUCUAUGACUGCAGGCGGCAACGCUAUCUAGGAGAGCAUUUCAAUAAAGAUGAAGCACGAGGUGACCGCCCUUGCGACAGACUGACAAAGCCGCCGUGUCAGGCGGAUCGAGGCCGGCAUGUCGACCAUCUCGCUCGAGGUCUCCGACGACCCCACGAUGAAGACGGACUCCGACAACAUUGCAUCGGAGCCCGCGCAUGUGCAUGCUGACUUCACCAUAAAGCAGGCGUAGGCGCACUUCAACGCGUCCAUGACGGAGGAGCAGCUUGCGCCAGCACCUAUGUCGGCAUUACAAUAGGGACAUAACGAACAACGGUACAACAUAUUCCUUCUCGACCAGCACCGGCUGGCAGAGGACCAAAUCGACGACGAGUGCACGAGCGAGGAGGUCUUGACAGUCAUGGUUGUGGCAAACCCUAACUUUGUCACGGAGCAGCAUGGGAUCUACGAGGUUGCAUGUGGUCAAUCUUUCGCUCACUAGAAACAGGCGGCCGCGGAGGCCUAACUGCAGGCACCGGUAGAGCUACAACCAAGCAAAACCAUGCUAUAGCAUGUCCAAGUUUAAUGGAAAUAUACUAGGAUAUGAAAGCAAAUGGGGCAUCAGAUUAAAAAGGUUAGACUUCCCUUCAAUUUGGCCAGCCCAGGUUUUAAUGGGUAGCACCACCAUUGACUGCAGGCGAUCGCGGAUGGAAACAAUGCGAGUUGCUCAUCCUACGUGCAUCGUGACAAACUUUCGGGUGGCCCGGCGGGUCAAUGAGGGCAUCGUCGCCUCCAUUUUCAUGGUAGACCUUACGUUCACCUGCAAUGGACAAGGCGCAAACUCCUUAGAUGAUGAAUAGGGCAUGGGAGCCGACGGUGUCUUAUGUCCCAUGUGGAUCGGGUUGUCGGUUAUGUUAUACUCUUCCUCGCAGACGACUGCAUCUUCAUUUCAUCGGUCUUAUGUCGAUGCUCGUGAAAACGGGGGAUGAAGGACGUGGUCCUAGGUAGGGAACAAAAAGGGUUUGGAUGCACGCUAGGUUUAGGGCCGGGUUUUAUUUUUUUGUCCUAAACGUAACGGAAACUCAUCGUCUUUGUAUGAAUCAUGUCCGGCUUAUAUAAAAAGCCGUCGUGUUUGCAUGAAAUUCGUCUAGUUUAUCAAUUAAAAGUGCUUGAAGUGCAUGCUGGCAGCGUAGGUGACCGGCUUCUUAUCCAUGAAUCAUGAUGUCGCUGCAACUAAUUAAUCUGUAGGUCGAUGGAUCGGAGACGACGUGUGCGGAAAACACUGUCGAUGCUGAUGCCGUCGACGGUAAUGAACUAAGGCUGUCCGUAAUGGGAGUAUCAUGCAUGCCAACUAGGCAAUCUCAAUGAGGUGGCAUAGAAUUAAAUAAAGAAAGAGAGGGUAGAGUAUCAUAUCAAGAUAUCGUAUCAUAUUAAAUGAUGUGAUACUAUGUGUCUUGCAUGACAAUAAAUGAACUACUCUAUGAUGAGCAUUUAUUAUCCUCCAAACCCUCCAAUUCAGAACUCGCGUGUGUUGAAGGAGGGGAGUUAAAUAAGAAGAGAGAUGACUAAUCCAUAUUUUAAUAGGAGUACUUGGACUUUAGCCUCUUAAAAAGACUAUUUUUAGUUCCUCUUUAGUUAGGGGUGCUUGGACUUUAACCUCUUAAAAAGACUAAAAUAAGUUUCUUAGAUCCAAACACCCUCGUAGACUAAUAUCAUAUAUAUGAUAUUAAUAUAUGAUACUAUCCAUUACAACCAGCCUAAUUAAAGAAGCAUCACGUGUGCCCGGACCUAUGUGAGCAGCGUGCUCCCCCUAAUUCUGAUUCCGUCGGCCCUGUUCACAAGCGAAGCGAACCAGCGCCGACGGCGACCAAGACUCCACCGGAAGACUUCUUCCUCUUCCCGUUUGUGUGGCCGGCCUUCCCACUUGCGCUUGCGGCUGCUCUCCUCCUCUCCCUUUCGUUCGUCAGUAGGUGAGCGUCGACACAAGACUAGACUACAAGAGGAGAGAAUAUCUCUUACUAUCAGCCAGCCAGGAUGAAGCCCCGUACGUGACAACCUUCAUUGCCGUGCGACGAGGUGUCGCCGGCCGUGUCAGCCAGGCACGCAGCAAAUCGGAUCCAUGCAUGGAGCCACUGGCUGGCUAGCUUUUUUUUUUCAAAAAGAAGGCAUUGCCCCUGAAUGAUGCAUGCAAUUAUUUAUUAAGUACUGAAACAGUUCAAAAGAAGUAUAAAGUAGAUUGAAAAACUGCGAGAAGAAACUACAUGACGACCAACGCCAAAACCGAUGAUAUAAAUAGGCGUAGUUGACUGGCUGGCUAGCUAGAUCUCGCUCUACAGCUGUGGUUGGGUCGCCAGACGUACAGUAUCAGUACAGUAUGUACCCUUUUAUUUUAUUUUUUGAACAGUCCACUCCAACCUGUGAUCUGUAUUCACUCCAACAUGUGAUAUGGGUAUCCAUUUCUUGAGACAGAGAGAGAGGAGUGAGAGAAGAUGGUACGAAGGUGCACGCGGCUUUCGGGUGCUGGAACGAUGAAGGAGUGUGAAGACGCAGAAGAUGGAUGCGGAGUGUGUGUAAUUUUAUGCAGAAAAGGCAGCAGCUAGCCUAGUUGUGGUUGGGGUGGUUUGAUGGGCGAACCGAAAUUCUCCCCUCCAACCAACCAACCAACCAACCCCACCGUCGUGCUGCAAGUGUAACCUAGAAGGUACAAAAAGGAGGGGGUGACUACACACGGGACGCGAGUGCGCUGUUUACUGGUAAGCAUCACACUAAUUAACCAUCACAGAGCUGCUUAAUAAUUAGUACGUACAAGUUAAUAAAGUAGUUUUGUCAGAGCGUGAAUGCCAGGCAAAAUGGACACAAUUAACUUGGAAGACGCGCACUCGCCUAAUCAUUUUGUAUGGCGCUGACAGCAUGACGCCACAAUAUGAGGGUGUUUGUUUUCAGAGACUGGUUGGUUUAGGGACUUAAAAAAGUCUCUAUAAGUCCCACCUAAACCAAACACAAGGGACUUAUUGUGGUGAUUUGGGACUUAUCAAAUAAGACUUUCAGGGAGGAGCUUAUUGGAACUUAUCCCGGGCCGGACCUACCCAGCGUCGCUCCAGGCUCGUUCCCCGCACGCCGCCCCGCCUCUCGGUCCAAUCGCCGCCGCCGCCCCGCCUCUCGCCCCGUCGCCGCCCCGCCUCUCGCUCCGGUCGCCGCCCCGCCUCUCGCCCCGCCUCUCGCUCCGGUCGCCACCCCGCCUCGGUUCGCCGCCCCGUCGCCGCCCUGCCUCGGUUCGUUGCAGCGGUGCCUCCAAUCGCCGGACAGGCCCUCUCCUGAGCCUCGCUGCAGUGGUGCUUAUCAUGUGUGCCGUACGCGUUGGCUGAUGACGAUCCAUGUGAACAAGUGUAUUAUUAGGUGCAACAUGGACUUAUAAGUCCAUGUAAACAAACAGGUAGGGACUCGGAACUUAUAAGUUGGGACUUAAAAAAGUCCUAGGACUUAUGAAACAAACAGGGUCUAUAUUAUGUGACACCCGAGGUUAAGGCGUUGCACCUCCGACCAUGCUGACAGCCUGUGGCAGGGCCGGCUCCACCCCCUCCCCCCCUCCCCGCGGAGUGUGACGUCUAAGACAAAGACGACACACUUGCAUUGUGUGGUGCCUAGCCAUUAGGCGCCACACUUUCAAUUAUACAUCCGCGGGCCGGCCCUCCCCCCUCCCAUCCCAUUCAUCCCCACCCAACAAGAACAACGAGAGCAUGGCGGCUAGGGUUCGUCCGCCCUCACCAAAUCCCUCCCUCCCCCCACCAAAUCCGGAGGAAAUCUGUGGGGAUUUCAUCCCUAAGGCAUGCAUAGGUUUUUUUUUUCCUUCGAUCCCUUACUUUUCAUCCGUAAAAUCCAUCUCAUUUCUCCCUUUUUUUUACUCUCUUCGGUUUAAGUUAGGUCCUAUUUGAUUUUGAAUGUGUUAUGGCAAAAUGACAUGAUUCUUUGAUGUGUAGCAUUAGCAUACAUAUAGUAAUCACUUAUGAAAAUAUAGAUGGUUAAUUUUGGUAGAAACAAAUGUAAUAGGAACAUAUGUGUACAGAUAGGACAAACAGAACAUAUUUUCAAUAUUAGUUCAUAUUAGCGUUCGUAUAUUAUUUGUUUUGAUAUUUUUUCUACUAGCAUUGAUAAAUUAUUUGUUUCAAUAUUUGUUUGUAGUAGGGACAUAUUGGUUCAUCUUUGGCCAUUAUGUGUAUGAGAUAUAUAGGAUGAAAUAUAUAGGAUGGUGUGCCUUUUGGAUGAUUUCUAUGACGUUGAACACGAGGCCUAUUUGAUGUUGGAGAAGGGGGUGAUAGUGAGAGCAUAAUAGUUGGUAGUUUAUAUCUGGUGUUUAUUUGAAAAGAUCAAACUGUAAUCAUCACCAUACACUUUAUUUUUUUUAGAUGAAUAAGAAGUUUAACAUCUCCUAAUAUUGACACCUCUUUGAACUAAUAAUAAUACACUCACACCUUUUUCAUAUCACCACAUCAAUAUUAUUAACCCAUAAUUUCGCUAUGUCUGCUAUAUGAUGGUUUUAAUUAACACUCAUUGACUACCCGUUAUUUUCAUCUAGUCUUAUGACCCAUGCAAAUUAUCAUCACUAUUUAUCUAACUCCCAAACAAAUAUAAGUGAAGAACAAGAGCAUAAUAUUCCUAUAAAAUCUACACGCCACCGUGCUAAAAAAGAUAUAAGUGAAAUGUUAGAGCAAAUGCUAAGCUCAAAAGAUAUAAGUGAAACAGAUAGAUUACUACAGUCUGUAGUAAUCUGUAAUGAACCUAUACUUCUAUAACUUCAAAAAUGCUGAAAAGUUAGGAUGACCCGAGGAAUAUGUAUAGCAAUAUUGUGUUAAAAAGGCAGCUUAAAAAGACGUUCCAGUAAAAUCAGAGAAUUCUUCAUUGGACGCCAAAGUUUCUAUUUUUUGCACCGUAUCUAUUCUACUCAUCAUGCAAAUCACCCCAAAGGAUUUACUUGGCACAAACACUAAUUAAAACAUAAAAACACAAUCAUUACAAAUGCAAUAAUCAUGUUAUCACAAAAAAAAGAAGUAAAUAAGCAAAAAUAAAGAUAACUAUUGGGUUGCCUCCCAACAAGCGAUAUUGUUUCACGCUCUUAGCUAGGCAUAUUGCAUAGUUUAAAGUAUUGUCAUCUCUGUAAGAAUGACACAUCAUGCUAUAAUCAUAUUCCCUUCUUUCAACAGCAAGCUUUCUGAUAGGUAAGCAAAAAUAAUUGAAGGGACUAAAUAGUGCAACAUUAGGAUCUGAAAGGUCUACUUUGGGAGGAACAUGAGGCUCUUCCUUGGGUUUUUGAUAAGUGAUAGUUAGUUCCUCAUUGUAUAAAUUUCUAUGGAGGUAUUUCCUUAAUUUUGUUUGAAUCUCAUAAUCCAAUCCAAGUUUUGAUAUAGCAAAUUGAUCAUUGUGUUUAGAAAUCUUAUCAACCAGAACAUUAAGGGGUACCAUCUUUCUAAGGUUCUGAUCAUAAGCAACAUAGUCCGUGGAUCUUAGUUUUCUUAUUUCUUCUAACUCGUAAAGAAUUUCCUCUAUGGGUGGGCACUCACCGUUAACCCUAUAAUGAGAAAAUAUAUCCCUAGCUUCUUGUAUGAUAUUACUAAAUUUUUGACAAAGGAAUAUUGUUGCUAGACAUUUAGUGGAAGCUUCAUGGAUAUUAGAGAAUUCUAGGAACAAUCAUUGUAUAAAAGGAUGCAUGUGCACAAAUUGUCUCUCCAACUGUGUUAUAAGCAAAGAUAUUGCAUCCGCAUAACUAGUAGUUCUAGCAACCAAUAGAACCUCCUAUAAAAGGUAAUGAUCCCGCACAAGUGAAAAAAUCUUGGAUCACACUCUUUCCAAUAAUAUUACCAUUUCCUAUGCGGAGUGUCCUAGUUUGCAUAAUAGGUUCCACCUUAGGAGGAUCAUCAUUCGCAAGAUUAUCAAGUUUUUCAUUAGCAACUUCAUCGAAAUUUCUUUUAGCAUUCUCAUAGCAAGGUGAAGUUGUCAACUCAAGGGUUUCCGCACUAGAGGCGGAAACUUCACUAAUUUCAAACUCAGACAUGAUAGCAACUUUCAAGCAACCUAGAGAGCGAAGAUGCAAUCUAGUGAUAAGCUAAGUAAGCGAAGAUAAAUAUUUUUGUAUUUUUAUUUUUUUAUGAGACAAACUAAAUAUACCAGCAAAUAAAAAGAGGAACCAGUGAAUGAAAUUUUAUGUGGAGUUACUUGGUAGUUUGGUGAUGAUAUUCCUCGGCAACGGCGUCAGAAAUCCUUCCUGGUACUUGUGAUCUGCAUUGGGUUUUCCGUAAAGAGGAACAUGUAAUCACAUCACAAUGUGGGUAAGUAUUUCCUUUAGUAUGAAACCAAGGUUUAUCGAACCAAUAUAAAUAUCAAUCACAACCAUCUUUAGCUGCUGCACACAAAAGAACAAACAACUUGCAUCCAACGUGGGCAAGAGGGUCGUCAAUCAUCUUGCCUUGUUAUUUGCAAGCAAGUGAGGUGUGUAGAUAAUUGUAGAUAGAAAGAUAAAAUAAAAACAAGCAAAUGGCAGCAAGGUAAUGAAGGUUUUAUCAGUAUGUUGUCAAUAGACCCCGGUGCCAUAGCUUUCCCUAAUUGCAUCUCUCAUGAAAAAAUAACUUAUGGUGGGUAAACAAAUUACUGUUGGUCAAUUGACAGAAAAGCGGAUAGUUAUGCGGUAUCCACGGCAAUGAUCAUGUGUAUAUAGGCAUCACAUCCAAAAACAAAUAGGCCGACUCCUUCCUGCACCCAUUACUAUUACUCCACUCAUCGACCGCUAUCCAGCAUGCAUCUAGAGUAUUAAGUAAAAUAAAGUAAUGCAUGGAGAAGAAUGACAUGAUGUAGACAAAGCAAACUCAAGCUAUAUGAUGAAACCCCAUCGUUUUAUCGUCAGUAGCAGCAACACAAAGACGCAUCUUGUCCCCUUCUGUCACUGGGAUAUAGGAAUUCGCCAGGUUGAACCUACCACAACGCACCUCUCUCACCGAAGAAAUAUCAAUCUAGUUGGCCAAACUAUUUCAAUAAAGUUGAGAGAUUUACGAAGCUAUCAUAAUCAUGCACAUAAGAAUCAUAUAAGUAUUCAAAGGAGACUCAAAUAUUUAUCAAGAGAGACUCAAAUAUUUAUCAAGAAUAAUCUGAACAUAAACCCACAAUUCAUCAGAUCCCAAAAAACACACCACAUAAAAGGAACUACAUCAUAUGGAUCAAAGCAAAGAUGCAACGAUCAUUGUAUUGAAGAUCGAAGAGAGAGAGAGAGAUUGCCAUCUAGGUACUGGCCAUGGACUCGUAGGUCUAUGGUGAACUAGUCACACAUCAUCAUGAGGGUAGCAAGGUCGAUGAAGAGGUCCUCCGUGAUUGAUCCACCCUCCGGCAGGGUGCCAGAAUGGAGCUCCAGAUGGCCUCCCAUCGAAAGAGAGACUUGCGGUGGCGUAAAAAAUGUUUCCGGACUCCCUCGGAUGUUUUUAGGGUAUAAAAUAAUUUAUAAGCCAGAGAACGGAGUCGGGAGGGUCACGAGGGAGGCACAGGCCACAGGGCACCCCCGAGGGCGCGCCUUAUUGGUUUGUGGGCCCCUCAUGCGGCCUCCAGCCUUUUCGAUACUCCUCGGUCUUCUUUUGGUUCAGAAAAAAUCAUCAAAAAGUUUCAGGUUAAUUAGGCUUCGUUUGGUAUGAAAACCCUGAAAAGUGAAAAACAUGCAGAAAACAACAACUGACACUGGGCACUGGGUCAAUAGAUUAGUGCUCAAAAAUAAUAUAAAUUGAUAAAUAAAUUCCCCAAAAGUAUUCUAAAAUGACAAUAUAUCAGCAUGGAACAAUAAAAAUUUAUAGAUACAUUGGACGUAUCAACGGCUAGCACACUAGCGAGCCUUCAAAAUGGACAGCGAUCGCUACCGAGGUCUCAUGUAGUUCAGACCGUCGUGAGCGAACACAUCUCCCUCUGCCGGUUUGCGAACCAAGCCUUCCUCUCCGGUGACAUGUUGUUCUUGCCGACGCUCAUGGAGGCAAGUGCCACCUCUUUUGUUCUGUUCUCGACAUUGGUGGCUUCGAUCUCAAGUUUCUUUAGUUGGUCGGCCUUCUCGAUGCCAAGCUUCCUCCUCUGCACGACCUCCUUCAUCUCAAACUUCUUCGUUUGAAGGUCUAGGUACAUGUUCAUUUGUUCCUCCUUUCCUUUGCUCCUCCUCUCUUCCCCAACUUCCUUUUGGCUCAUCAUGUUGUCUAAUGUUCUUCCUUGCAAGGCUAUAGAAGUCGCACCACGCUUCUCCUCGGCCUUUGAGCUUGCCUUCUCCCUCGACGGUGACGUAGCCUUCUUCUCCCUGUCCUUGUUACGUUGGUUCCUCCUCUUGGUCGAUUCGGCGUCGAGCUUGGCAAGCUUCGCCGACGUGAGAUUCAGGAGCCUUCUUCGCCGCGGGGCGCGCGAGCGCUGCCGGGUCGCUAGGAUUCAUCGGGUCAUCAACCAUGAUGGAGGGAGGAGAGGAGAGAGGGGCGCGGAAGAGUUUUAAGCAAAAUAAAAGAAAAGUGGAGUGAUCGUGUCACCGACAGACGGGCCACGAGAAGGACAAGGACGCAUGUCCGUUCAACCGCAAACGCGGACUAAAAUUAAAUCGAAAAUGAAUCGAAAGCACACCAGAAACAAACAUUGAUCCGUUCGCCCCCGUGCAUUGAAGAGCCUUUUCUGCUCAUUUACUUCCAAACGAACGUGGACGGUUGUGCGUUGAAGUUGGCCUGAUGCCGGCGGCAUCCCCACCCGGCGCUCGUGCUCCUCCUGAGAUCGCGUCAGCCGGCCAGCCAGCCUCGCUGUUCGUUGCCCCACACGUUCACAGGCCAGACAACGGCGGCGACGACCAAGACCCACCCCGACUACUCUACUCCUUCCAACUCCUGAGAAAAUUCUUCGUCUUCUUCCUCCUCCCCCUCCCCCNNNNNNNNNNNNNNNNNNNNNNNNNNNNNNNNNNNNNNNNNNNNNNNNNNNNNNNNNNNNNNNNNNNNNNNNNNNNNNNNNNNNNNNNNNNNNNNNNNNNNNNNNNNNNNNNNNNNNNNNNNNNNNNNUCCCCCUCCCCCUCCCCUUCCCCACUUGCGCGGCAGCCAGGGCCAGGUCCAGCCGUCCACCCCCCCUUGCACCUCCUUCCUCACCUCACUAGGUGGUGAGAGCGAGAGGCGGCACACACCAGCCCUGCUUUCUUUGACCGGGCUGCUCCCUUCCCUUUCCCUCCGCCGUCAGUCCACUCCACCGUCUCCUCCCCACCUCCCGCCUUUGCGGGCACCGCGAACGCGCGCGCGUGCGCCUCUCAUCGCCAUCCUCUCCCCCCCUUUCCCCCUCGCUUCCCUUCCUCUCCUUCCUGCCCGGAUCGGACCCACGGCCCCGAGGACUCGUGCUGCCGCUCCUGCUCCUGCUGCCGGGGCCUCCCUCCCCUCGUCGCCGGCCGCCGGCUUUGUCGACCAACCGCGCCGCGCCGCACCCGAGGUUCGUCGCCGCAACUCAUCCUCUCUACUCUCUGCCCUCGCCUCUGCUCCCCUGUGCUCUGUCAUCCUUCCAUGGCCUGAGAUUCGACGCGGUUCGGCUUAAUCGCGGUCUCGCCUUCCCACCUUCCCUCGUCCGCGCUUCGGAUUAACUAGCAGAGGUUUGAUUACUAGUUGGAUUGGAUCACCAUGCCUAGUGUUUGUACAGUUUAAUUCGGUGUGAAAUCAAGGUUUGGGCUUCUAGUAGCAAGAUGGCGUGACGAGAUUCUGCCUGAAGAAAAACCAGCAGUUUCAGUUCAGAAUUCUGCAUCCCUUCUUGCCUGACGACACAACUCUGCUUCCCAAACCCGAAUUUUCACUCGGUACAGUCUUUAGAUUUUAAUUUUGUGAUGAUGAUGAUGAUGAUGCUUCAACGAAGCACAGAUCAAGGGUUCACUCGCUCCUAAUUCCUAAAUGUUUCCCCUUACCAACUAACUGACUGAAUCCCCGCCGCACUCCAUUGCAGAGGGGGCGAUGAGGUGCCUGCCGUUCCUGCACGGGGACGCCAAGGAGGGGGACGACGACGACCAGCGCACGGGGCCCAGCACCGCCGCCAUGUCGGCCUCCGUGCGCUCCUUCAGCACCACCACCUCCACGGAGCGCGACAACCCGCGCUCCGGCUCCGACCUCAACUCCAUCAACGUCUCCGACAUGAGCGCCGAGUCCAUACGCCGGACGCAGUACCCCAGCUUCACCGACCGCCCCGCCAACCUCCGGGUCUUCUCAUUCUCCGAGCUCAAGGCCGCCACCCGCAACUUCAGCCGCUCCCUCAUGGUCGGCGAGGGCGGCUUCGGCUGCGUCUACAGAGGGGUCAUCAAGGGCUCCGACGACCCCGCCCAGCGCGUCGAGAUCGCCGUCAAGCAGCUCAAUCGCAAGGGGGUUCAGGCAAGUUCUCUCUUCACUGUCAUGUACUGUACUGCUUGACAGUCAUAUGUAGCAUACGCACACUGUAUAUAUAUAUAUCUUACAGUGAGAGUGAAUCCACUUUUGUGCAAUACAAAAGAGGAUUUAUACCUCAUUCAGAACAACAAAUGUGAUUUGGACUUGGUUCUGCAUCUUUCAAACUCGGCAUCUUCAAACUUAUCCAGGAAUCCUGAACUACUUACUUAUUUCUUAAGGGAACAAACCAUUCAGUAGAUCCUGAUUGCUUCGGGAAAUGCGGUGUAGUUUAUACUUGUUAAAUUCCUUGCAUUCACAUUCCAUGUAUUAUCAUACUUGCAUGUUGUUCUAGUUUAGCCUAGGGUGUAGUGAGUCAACUAGUGCCGGCAUAUAAGAACAACAACAGCUAACUGAAGUUGUAAACAAAGCAUACCAGUACUCGAUCAAACCACCGAGCAUAUUAUUCCAGCAUUUCAGUUCCACUUGCCAGAUGAGUCCCUCCUAAGGCACUUGCACUGAAAUCUAGCUUCAGCCACUAGUUUGGGGUUCCUAAUAUAUUAUUCAUCUUUCUUCAGGGGCAGAAGGAAUGGUUAACAGAAAUGAACGUGCUUGGGAUUGUUGAGCACCCAAACCUUGUCAAACUAAUAGGUUACUGUGCGGACGACGAUGAGCGAGGGAUGCAGCGGCUUCUGGUAUACGAAUACAUGCCCAACGGAAGCGUGGAUGACCACUUGGCAAGUAGGUCAACUUCAACUCUGUCAUGGCCAAUGAGAUUGAAAGUGGCUCUCGAUGCUGCCCGCGGGCUCAAGUAUCUGCACGAAGAGAUGGACUUUCAGGUAGUUCAUUUGCUUUCUGCUGAUCAGUACUAAAACUUAAUGAAUGUGAAACAUUUGUGUGCUAUUAGCAUCACUGCUUAACUACAUUCAGUAAAAUAGUAACAGAUGCAAGUUGCAGUCUAUUUAGCUAUUUCAAUAUGCUUGCAGGUUAUUUUCCGGGACUUGAAAACAUCUAACAUUCUAUUAGAUGAGAACUGGAAUGCAAAAUUAUCGGACUUCGGAUUGGCUAGGCAUGGACCACAGGAAGGGCUAUCCCAUGUCUCCACAGCGGUACGCACAUCUAUGGACCUAGAAUUAUUUUACAUUAAUGUGCUCUGACAGCAUUCUGUUCCAUAUUCUUUAAAAUUACUAGUCUUGCAAAAUUUACGAUGUUCUAAAGAUGUGGAUACUCAUGGUGCCAAGACGGUUUUUUUCUAUAACACGGUUCCCUUUUGAUAGCAAUGAAGUUGGAAUUGGAAAAUGGAUACCCAGUUGCUCCACCUCAAAUGGUAUAAUUGUGUCGGUGUAUGCUAUUGAUGCUUAAAUGUGUACGCUUUAGUUUCUGAAGUGCUCCACAAUCAAAUUCUUAAAUUUUCAAGAAUUACAAAGGAGUGAAUACUUGAGCUUGAAUAAGCAUCAAUGACAGCUACAGCCAUAGCAGCUUCAGAAUGCACCUCUUUUUUUUUUCAUAGAAAGCCAUAUCUACAAGUAACAAGAGUGGUGAUUUUGUGCGCUUGCCUAAGCUGGACAAUUUGACAAAGAAUCUGCUGGACAUAUAUUACCAUGUCUUACAAACAACAACAACAACCAAGCCUUUCAGUCCCAAACAAGUUGGGGUAGGCUAGAGUUGAAACCCAUAAGAUCUCGAAGCCAAGUCAUGGCUCUGGAACGUGGAUAGCUAACUUCCACGCACCCCUGUCCAUGGCUAAGUCUUUGUCGAUAUUCCAAACCUUCAGGUCUCUCUUAACGGACUCCUCCCAUGUCAAGUUUGGCCUACCACGACCCCUCUUAACAUUCUCAGCACGCUUUAUCCGUCCGCUAUGCACCGGCGCUUCCGGUGGCCUCCGUUGAAUAUGUCCAAACCAUCUGAGACGAUGCUGGACCAACUUCUCUUCAAUCGGUGCUACCCCAAGUCUCUCUCGUAUAUCGUCAUUCCGUACCCGAUCCUUCCUUGUGUGGCCACAUAUCCAUCUCAACAUGCGCAUCUCUGCUACACCUAACUGUUGGAUAUGGCCAACACUCCGCGCCAUACAACAUCGCAGGUCGGAUAGCUGUCCUAUAAAACCUGCCCUUUAGCUUUUGUGGCACUCUCUUGUCACAGAGUACGCCAGAAGCUUGGCGCCACUUCGUCCACCCAGCCUCGAUUCGGUGGCCCACGUCUUCAUCGAUAUCGCCAUCCUUCUGCAACAUGGACCCCAAAUAUCGAAACGUGUCUCUCUCCGGUACCACCUGCCCACCAAGGCUAACCUCUCCAUCCUCGUGCCUAGUAGCACUAAAACUGCACCUCAUGUAUUCAGUUUUAGUUCUACUAAGCCUAAAACCUUUAGAUUCUAGAGUCCGCCUCCAUAACUCUAACUUUCUAUUAACCCCCGUUCGGCUAUCAUCGACUAGCACCACAUCAUCCGCAAAGAGCAUACACCAUGGGAUAUAUUACCAUGUCUUAAUUGAACUAUUAUUCUGUUAGGAAGAUAUUAAUUUGGGCAUAGAGUACAGACCCUGGUUUCAAUAAAAAAUGGUAUUUUGCACAAAAGACAACCAUGUCAUUUCUUUUUAUGACAGAUGGGUCCAACUGUGUGAGGCUAAGCUGUACCUCUACCUGUGCACUGCCACCUAGAGCUCCCCUAAAGUGCUUGCUUUANNNNNNNNNNNNNNNNNNNNNNNNNNNNNNNNNNNNNNNNNNNNNNNNNNNNNNNNNNNNNNNNNNNNNNNNNNNNNNNNNNNNNNNNNNNNNNNNNNNNNNNNNNNNNNNNNNNNNNNNNNNNNNNNNNNNNNNNNNNNNNNNNNNNNNNNNNNNNNNNNCCCCCCCCCCCCCCCACACACACACACAUGAAAGUUGUAGAAGAUUCUCCAUGCACUAGUUUUAUGAAGUUUGUUCUCUUCUUUGCCACUUUGUUUAGUUCCGAUAACUUUUCCUAGAACAUGGUUCCUUUUUUUAUAGCAAUGACGUUGGAAAUGGAUACCCAGUUGNNNNNNNNNNNNNNNNNNNNNNNNNNNNNNNNNNNNNNNNNNNNNNNNNNNNNNNNNNNNNNNNNNNNNNNNNNNNNNNNNNNNNNNNNNNNNNNNNNNNNNNNNNNNNNNNNNNNNNNNNNNNNNNNNNAAAUGGAUACCCAGUUGCUCCACCUCAAAUGGUAUAGUUGUUUCAGUACAUGGCUAUUGAUGUUUAAAUGCAUAUGUUUUAGUUUCUGAAGUGCUCAACAAUCAUGUUCUUAUUUUUUCGAGAAUUACAACUGAAGUCCUAGAAAGGAGCGAGUACUUCAGCCUGAAGCGUUAAUCGGAACUAUAUACGUUUCCUGUGGCAGCUUCAGAAUGCAGCACUAGCCAAAAUGACGUCUAUUAAAGAAAUCACAUUUCUCUUCUUCAGAUAAAGCCAACUGCACAUACAAGUAACAAGAAUUCGGUUUUAAAGUAUUCAUCCUAAGUUCCUAACUACCAUAACAACUAGGGUGAUUUUACACGCUUUGCUGCGCCAGAGUUUUUUGCAAAGAACUUGUUGCACAUAUGUUGACAUGUCAACUAAACUAUUAUUUUGUUAGGAGACAUUGGUUUAGUUAUACCCUGGUUUCAUUAAGAAUAGAUUUUGCACAAAAGAAAACCAUAUUGUUUCUUUUUAUGACACAUGGAUCCCACUAUGUGAGGCCUAGCAAUAGCUACAUAUGCACUGCUACCUGGUGCCCCCCUAAAGUGCUUGCUUUAGAAAUCGUAUGAGAUUCUCCAUGUAAUAAUUUUAUGAAUUUCAUUCUCCUCUUGCCAUUUUUUUAGUUCCUUUUUAAAGAAGAUUUUGUUCAGUUUCUAAUACAACUUUGAACUUGAUGCAUCUGUAAUCUGUUCAACUAAACUAACAUGUUAAGUACUUAUGGUUCCACAGGUUGUUGGAACUCUAGGAUACGCCGCGCCGGAGUACAUGCAAACCGGACGCCUGACUGCAAAAAGCGACAUAUGGGGCUAUGGUGUGCUCCUCUACGAGCUCAUCACCGGCCGGCGUCCCAUUGACAGGAACCGCCCAAAGAGCGAGCAGAAGCUCCUGGACUGGGUGAAACCGUACAUCUCCGAUGUCAAACGGUUCCCCAUCAUCGUCGACCCGCGGCUCGAGGGCCACUACAACCUCAAGUCCAUGACAAAGUUGGCCGGUGUGGCGAACCGCUGCCUCCUCCGGAUGCCCAAGUCGCGCCCAAAGAUGAGCGAGGUGUAUGAGAUGGUGCAGAAGAUCGUCGACAGCGUCGAGAUCGGCCCGCCGGAGCCUCCCCUGCACUACCACGGCUCGGUCUCCGGGCCGGGCGCGAAGCGGACCAAGAAAGGGUCAUUGAAGAGGAGGCUCCAGGAGUUCAAGUUCGGGUGCCGCCAGAUCGUGUGGCGGGGCUGGAAACCAGAGAUCAUAAAGACCUGCUGAAAUGGAUGCCACCACCCUCCUGCCUGUGACUGUAAGUAUGGCUAGCUGUUCAUAGAGAUAUGAAGUUCGUAACCGGUGCACGGUUUGCGCUGCAGCGUGUAACUUUUUUGGUCCUGUAGAUUUCUGAUUAAACAGUCUUUUGUUUGUGUAUUACCCUGGUCUGAGCUGCAAGAUUGUGAAUCAGUAGGUUGCUUGUGAUUUUGGUCCAGUUUCAGCUCUUCCAUCUUGUGCACGCUACUAAUCUAGUUUGUGCACAACUUAAAACUUUCCGUCUUUUUUCUCAAGAACUACUGAAAACCUGUCAUUUUUCAUGUGGAAAGGGUUGUGUGCAGGGAGCCAGGGAAUUGUCAAUUCAGAUUCAGGCAAGAUGUGACCUGAGCCAGUGGAUUUCUGCCAACCAAUCGGAGGAUGUGCCUUAUCGGAGAAUGAUCUGAAUAUCUGAUGCUGGGUGGUACAUCCCUGCCGGCCAUUCUUUUGCCCAGAUAAGACCCAGACCCAGAUGCUCACAUCAGAAAGAGACCCCUUGGUGCAACUGGGAGAAUUUCUUGGUGGUAGCAGCACAUGGAUAGGGGGGAGGCUACAAUCGACGUUUUGAUCGGACGGUCGAUCUUCGCGACCGAUCCUUGUUACCAGACAUGAUGAUCAAAUCUCCGCCGCAAAUAACCCAGCAAAGGUUCAUUUCUGGUGGUGAAUUCUCGCCGGAGGAAAAGGAAAAAGAGUUGCUGGUGCCGGUCUCAUUCUGCUGUUCCCCUGUAGCUGUAGCCUGUAGAUUGUGCUGUUGGCUGGAGGCAGAGAAAUUCUGUUCUUUCUGCACCGUGAACACUUUCCAUUCCAUUUCAUCAUCAGAACACAUCUCCUUCCUGCCCAACUUAACUUUUCUCCGGCGACAUGGUGCAUAUGUGGGUGGGGAGCAGAAUUGGAGGCAGAUCAUCUUCAUGUGACGGGCAGCAACUGUAGGGCUGCUUUCGGUCUCGAAUCGGACGUCCGAUUCGCCUGUCGACGACGAAGAAUCGACGGAAGCAGAGAAGAGGAGGUGAGGUGAGGUGAGGUCCAUCUCAUCUUCUGACAUCUCAUAUGCCUUGUCAAGGCCAACACCAUGCACCCCUGCCUGCCUGAUGCCUAUCAUCUUCAGAGAUUAGCACAUGGUUUGCGUGACGGUGGUGCAUCAUGUUCAGAAAAUCAGGUGCAGAGUAUGUGUGACAUGUAGACCGGAUGGUGAUCCGCCGGACCUGUCACAUGGUUUGCCAUUGGCAGCCACUGCUUUGUGCCAGUCGCCACCGAUGGCGAGGGCUACCUGCCAUGAAAUCCGGCACCAUUCAUGCAGUUCCUUUCCCUCAGUAGUUUAUGGCUUUUUCUUCGCCCUUAGAAAGUUUCGAGUUAAAAACCGUCCGGAGGUCACCAAAUUUGUUAGGUUCUGAAGAAAGUGAAGAAUUUCCGCUUCUCGGUCCAAUCGCCGCCGUCCCGCCCCGCAACGCCGGCCGUUUCUCGUCAUCGGCCUUGGAUGUUUCUUCGUGUUAUUAUUACUAUAUAUACUUUUUCUUUUUCAUUCUGAACCAAAAAAAAAUUCACAUCGACAUGAACACAGUGAGGCCAUUCUCAUCCAGCAUUAGGAACGGGACGGGUGAGGUGAUGCCGGCCGUGUCGGAUCCAAGUCACCGUGACUAAGAUCGGUCUCUCUGUGACCCUACGUCCAUUCAUUAAUUAUUAGCUUCAUUAUGAUUUUUUUUUUCAUUUCUAUAUGGUUUCUUUUCAUGGCCUAACAAUCGGUCUCCCUCGUGGAGCAGUGCAGAUACGGUCAUGCGGUUCGAACUGAAUUUGUUAUUUUUGAACGAGCAGAAACACUUGCUCGUGCAUCUACGUAGUCAGCAAUAAUAAGAAGAAAAAAACAUGUGACUCUUGCGCCACGUGUGAAGUGAUCAUGGAGGUUUUUCUUUCUGAUCUUGCAACCAGAGCGCGGCGCACGCAAAAAUUAUUGAACGUUGCUUUGGUAUCUGUCUCCCAUGACCGGUGACGAACGAUCGAAAGAGAUGCCUAAAUGAUAAACAGAAAGGGAAGUAUAUGAAUAACUAAGGAAGAGGACGGUAUGCCGCAAGCAUUCAUAUAGAAGAAACAAAAAAUAAAUGAUUUCCCGUCCUCGAGAAGCCGUCUACUAGUAUGUAUAUGCGAUAAGAACAUCCGUAUCGCUAGGUGUUAAGCAGAAGCUAAAUGUGUGAUGGUCUGUCCGAAACUGAAGUCGAGAUCGGCCCUUGGGGUAUAUGAAAGAGGACAGAAGCUUAUAUGUUACAAUUCUUGCUUCAUCUUAACUUCUACGCAUUAUUUUUAGAUAAGUUACCUAACAGUGUCUUACGUCUCAACUUCCAUGUGCUUCCAUGAAUGGAAUAGAAGUGAAAAAAAAGAUUCAUAUGGAAGAGACCAAAGUGGUGUGGUCACCUCUUUUUCAGAGGUUUACCACCAUACAGUACAAACACAAAUACCCACAUAUUAUCUUUGUGAGCAACUCUAAAGUAUUGAACCGAUAAAACAUCUUGAGAUUAACGAAGUCACCACAGGUGCCUUCGUAGUUGGCGGAAACGUCUCCUCCCAUAAAAUGAACAUCACAAAAAAGCCUGAAAUAUAUCCAAGAAAAUGUGAGCACCAGUGCCAAGUCUAGGAUUUGAAUUUGAACCCCGUGGGCUGGUUUCAUCACAAGAAACCUAACCAUUUAGGCUACGCUCAGCUCACGUUGACCACCAGUUUUUAAUAUGGGUUACAUAUGCUAGGUCUACUACUGGUGCUAAGUUUUUGCCAGAAGACUUAUAUCCCAUAACAUAGCUACAACUCUUUUAAGCGGAAGCUAAAUGUGAGAGGGUUCACCCAGAAACGAACCAAAAAUUUCUUGGUCAAUACAUAUUAUUUAUUAUCAGAUCAAUUACCUAACAAUGUCUGAAAUGUUAACUUUAUGUGCUUACGAAGAUGGAAUAACAGUAACAGAAGAGUCAUAAGGAAGAGAACAAAUUGAUGUGCCCACUUCUACUUUCCAUAGGGUUCACCUCCUUGUUUACGACUAUACAGGUUAUAGAUGCUCUACUUUGGGUCCAAGAUUUUCGCCAUUGCUUUCUCGCACUAUAUCUUGUAGUACCGUCGCCACCUUUUUCUUAUUGCUUCAUCCUUUGUUUACCACCGAGAUACAAAUGAUACUAGAUUUGACAACACAUACCAAGUUUAUAAACGCUACUACUUUGUCCACACAUAACCAAGUUCAUUUUCUUAAGAGAAAAAAAUCCAAGAAAGUAAAAUAAUUCAACUAGUAAUCCAUCGUUUUACAAGUUCAAGGUGCCAGUCACUCUCAACAUCCUUAAAAAUAUUAUCAUCUGUUCACCCUAAGGUUUAAAACUCACAUCGACCUCUAGUCCAGGUAAAAAGACCACAAGAGAAAUUUGGGACCAUUCAUACAUGUACAAAGUAAAAAAAACAUGUACUCCUGUACCACCUAUGAAAUGUUCAUGGAGGCUUCGCUUUUCGGACGUACAACCUUAGAGUGGCGCACAAAAAAAAUCAUUGAGUGUUUCUUGGGUACCCGUCUCCUCGAUGGGUGACAAACAAUAGAAAUGGAUGCCUAAAUGAUGACCGAAAAAGGAAGUAUAAUACCUAAAUAAGGAAGACCGUGGUACGCCACAAGCAACUACGAGCAUUUGCAUCACUAUUCAAAAGCUAAAGGUGAGAGAGUCUAUCCAAAGUCGAAGCCGAAAGGCGCAUGGGUUAUGUGAAAGAGGAAGAACCUUAUGUCUUACUAUUCCCACUUAAUCCUUACACGUAUAAUUUUAUUUUUAGAUAAGAUAAGUAACAAUGUCUUAUGUAUCAACUGCAAUGUCUUUCCAAAGAUGAAAUAGAGGUAACAUAAUAGGAGAAGAGGGCAAACCAAUGUGCCCACUUCCUCUGCGGGAUGUUUGUUUACCGUCAUUUCCGACCAUACGGGUUAUAAAAUACUCUAAGCUUUACUUUCGCUCUAAGUUUAUCACCGCUAGUUUUUGUCACCAUCACAACUCAGUAGCAUUUGCCGCCAACAUUUUUGCAUCGCUUCAUCCAUAGUUUAGCACAUUGAGAUGUGAAUGCUCCUAGACGCAGCGACACGCACCAAAGGCCAUUAGAUUGUGCCCCCUUGUCCACGCAGAAUUGGAUUUUACAAAGUGCUAAAAGCCACAAAAGUAAAAUAUUGAGGAUCGGAGUGACGCACUGGUUGUGACUUUAUUACAAUAUCGUUCACUCUCGACCUCUUAAAAAAUAAUAUCAUAUUUUGACCCAGAUAAAGUUUAAAAUUCUCCAUUGUCCUCCAAUUUAGGUUAAAAAAAGAGAAGUCUGGGGCCAUUAUGAAUUUUCAUAUCUGUUUUCUUUUCAUGGCCUAACCACCUGUCUCUAUCUCUGGACAGUACAUAUGCGGUUUGAACUAAAUUUGUUUAAUUUUGAAAGGACAACAACGUUGGCUCAUACAUACAUGUAUAUAUUAGGUAAUAAGAAGAAAAAAACGGACGUACGUGGAGUAUCUGCUCCCGAGCUCAUUUGAGCUCGGAUAAACAGUAAAAUCGAAAAAAAUUCAAAAAUUGUUUAAAAAAUUCUGAAAUUUUUUUGAGACCAACUUUGACAAAAGUUCUAAGUGCAUGCAAAAAUUUGACAUGAACGAACAUUUCUACAAGGCGUGGCAAAAUAAACAAAAUGGAUGCUCUGAAAAUGCGCAUUUUCAGAGUGUCUAUUUUGUUUAUUUUUCCACGCCUUGUAUAAAUGUUAGUUCAUGCCAAAAAAUUUCAUGCACUUAGAGCUUUUGUCAAAGUUGGUCUCAAAAAACAUUCAGAAUUUUUCGAACAUUUUUCGAAUUUGUUUUGAUUUUUAUGUUCACCCGAGCUCAAAUGAGCUCGGGAUCAGAAAGGUACUUUCGGAAAAAAACAUGUUUCUCUUGCAAAGAAAGUGAAGAAUUUCCGAUUCUCGGUCCAAUCGCCGCCCCGCAACGCCGCCUGUUUCUCCUCCUCAUCGUCCCCGCUGUCAUCGGCCUUGGAUGUUUCUGUUGAAAUUUGGAGGUGGGCCUUAGGCCCAUUAGAGAAUUUCAGAAAAUCUACAAGGGCCCAUGUAGGUGGUGGCAUGUCAAGGUGGUGGGAGUUUAGUCCCACCCCGCUAGUGGAGGAGAGUUUGGACCCCUUUAUAAGGGUCUCUCUUCCACAUGCUAUUGGAGAGUGAGAAGAGAGGGUGCCCUCGCGCACUCCUCCUCCGCCGCCCGCCUCGCCACGACGCGGGAAUGAGCCGAGCCGAGCUCAUACCUACGCGCUUAUUUUUGCCGGUCAGGAACGGAGAAUAUGUACUCGGAUCGUGGCUGUUACCGACUCGGACGUGGGCUUGGCCCACGUCUCUCCACCCAGCCGCCUUUAUAAGCACACGAUCGCCUACCCUAACCGUCGCGAAAAUCAGAUCACAUCUGCCUCACGCCUUCGUUCCUUGACUGCUGCUGCCGCCGGCGACUCCGUCCCGUUUACCGCGUACACGGUCGACGGGAGAGCAGGCCUCCGAAACCUCGCCUCUCCGGUUCCUGUACGGGGAGAGGGGCGAUUAGGUUUUUGGGGAGCGAUCACGCGACUGCUCGCCUCCGUCCGUCUGCUUCGUCUACGUCCGCGUCGCCCUCGUCAUCGCCAUGUCUUCACCAAGCGAAGCUGAUCGUCUCCGCGAGGAAGCCGAGAAGAAGACGGCAGAGGAUACUGCCGCCGCCGCCGCUGCUGCUGCUACGGCCAACUGGCCGAUUGGAGGGUAUGAAUCGUUUAUCCUCUUGUUCGUAUUUAUUCUAGCAGUACUACUUGUUUGCAUAGAUGUAUCCACUAUAUGCGUAGUAUGUGCUAGGUUAGCUCAAGGUCAAUAUGUCAUUAGUCUAGUCAAUGCCAUGCUGGUUAUUAUUUUGUGGAUUAAUCUACUCGGAAAAUUGCCUGUUUACUCAACAGUUUCUUCAUGUUAUUAUUAUUCUAUAUAAUUUUUAUCUUCAUUCUGAACCAAAAAAACAUCUCACAUCGACAUGAACACAAUGAGGCUAUCGCCGUCAUCGGCUUUGGAUGUUUCUUCGUGUUAUUAUUACUAUAUAUGCUUUUUCUUUUCAUUCUGAACUAAAAGCAUUUCACAUUGACAUGAACACAGUGAGGCCAUUCUCAUCCAGCAUUAGGAACGGGAGGGGUGAGGUGAUGCCGGCCGUGUCGGAUCCAAGUCACCCUAACUAAGAUCGGUCUCUCUGUGACCCUACGUUCAUUCCUUAAUUAUUAGCUUCGUUAUGUCAUGCGGCUUGAACCGAAUCUGUUACUUUUUAAAGAGCAGAAACACUUGCUCGUGCAUGUGUGUGGUCAGCAAUAAUAAGAAUAUAAAAAAAAAACAUGUGACUCUUGUGCCACAUAUGAAGUGAUCAUGGAGGUUUUCCUUUCUGAUUUUGCAACCAUAGCGACGCACGCAAGAAUUAUUGAAUGUUGCUUCGGUAUCCUUCUCCCAUGACCGAUGACGAACGAUUGAAAGAGAUGCCUAAAUGAUGAACAGAAAGUGAAGUAUAUGAGUAACUAAAGAAGACCACCGUAUGCCGCAAGCAUUCAUAGAGAAGAAACAAAAAAAAAACUUUCCCGUCCUUUAUUCAAAGCUUUCCCCUCCUCGAGAAGCCGUCUACUAGUAUGUAUAUGUGAUAAAAGCAUCUGCAUCUCUAGGCGUUAAGCAGAAGCUAAAUGUGAGAUGGUCUAUCCGAAACCGAAGACGAGAGGCCCUUGGGGUAUACGAAAGAGGACAUAAGCUUAUAUGUUACAAUUCUCGCUCCGUCCCAACUUCUACACAUUAUUUUUAGAUAAGUUAUCUAACACCGUCUUGCGUCUCAACUUCCAUGUGCUUCCAUGAAUGGAAUAGAAGUGAAAAAAAGAUUCAUAUGGAAGAGACCAAAGUGGUGUGCGCACUUCUUUUUUAGGUGUUUACUGUCAUACAAUACAAACAUAAAUACCCACAUAAACACACGUAUGCUCAUCUUUAUGAGCAACUCUAAGAUAUUGAACCGACGAACAUCUUGAGAUUAACAAAGUCACCGCAGGUAUCUUCGUCGUCGGUGGCAUGCCUUGUUGGUGGGGACGUUUUCUUCCACUAAAUGGACAUCACAAAAAAGCCUGAAAUAUGUCCAAGAAAAUGUGAGCACCAGUGUCGAGUCUGGGAUUUGAAUUUGAACCCCGUGGGCUGGUUUCACCACAAGGAACCUAACCAUUUGGGCUACACUCGGUUCACGUUUACCACCAGAUUUUAAUAUGGGUUACAUAUGCUAGGUCUACUACUAGUGGUAAGUUUUUGCCAGAAGACUUAUAUCUCAUAACAUAGCUACAAGUUUUUAAGCGGAAGCAAAAUGUGAGAGGGUUUACCGAGAAAGAAAGCCAAAAAUUUCAUCGCCAAUAUGUAUUAUUUAUUAUCAGACUAAUUACCUAACAAUGUCUUACAUGUUAACUUUUUAUGCUUACGAAGAUGGAAUAAAAGUAACAUAAGAGUCAUAAGGAAGAGAACAAAUUGAUGUGUCCACUUCUACUUUCCAUGGGGUUCACCUCCUUGUUUAUGACAAUACAGGUUAUAGAUGCUCUACUUUGGGUCCAAGAUUUUUGCCAUUAUUUUUUCGCACUAUAUCUUGUAGUACCGUCGCCACCUUUUUCUUAUUGCUUCAUCCUUUGUUUACCACCGAGAUACAAAUGAUCCUAUAUUUGACAACACAUACCAAGUCUAUAAACGCCACCACUCUGUCCACCCAUAACCAAGUUCAUUUUUUAAGAGCAAAAAUUCCAAGAAAGUAAAAUAAUUCAACCAGUAAUCCAUUGUUUUACAAGUUGAAGGUGCGAGUCACUCUCAACAUCCUUAAGAAUAUUAUCAUCUAUUCACCCUAAAGUUUAAAACUCGACAUCGACCUCUAGUCCAGGUAAAAAGAACAUAAGAGAAAUUUGGGACCAUUCAUACAUGUACAAAGUAAAAAAAACAUGUACUCAUGUACCAUCUAUGAAGUGUUCAUGGAGGCUUCGCUUUUCGGACGCACUACCUUAGAGUGGCGCACACAAAAAUCAUUGAGUGUUUCUUCGGUAUCCAUCUCCUCGGUGGGUGACAAAUGAUGGAAAUGGAUGCCUAAAUGAUGACAAAAAAGGAAGUAUAAUCCGUAAAUAAGGAAGACCGUUGUGCGCCAAAAGCAAGUACGAGCAUCUAUUUUGACCCUGAUAAAGUUCACAAUUCGGCAUCGACCUCCAAUUUACGUAAAAAAAAGAAGUUUAGGGCCAUUAUGAAUUUUCAUAUAUGUUCUCUUUUCGUGGCCUAAUUAACCGUUGGUCUGUAUCUAUGGACAGUACAUAUGCGGUUAAAACUAAAUUUGUUUGAUAUUGAAAGAGCAACAACAUUGGCUCGUACAUACAUGUAUAUAUUAGGCAAUAAGAAAAAAAGCAUGUGACUCUUGUGCCACGUGUUCAAUGAUCAUGAGGGGUUCGCCUUCCGAUAUACAACUUCAUAGCGACGCACUCAAAAGUAAUCGAACGGUGCUCCGAAUCCAUAUCCCAUAAUGGGUGAUGAAUGAUGGAAAUGGAUGCCUAAAUGAUGACCGAGAAAAGGAAGCAUAUGAAUAUCUAAGAAUGACGGCGGUGUGCCGCAAGAAUUCACAGAGAAGGAGCACAAAAACCUUCGCAUCCUGAGAAGUUGUCUACCACUUCCUUCGUACCUAAAUAAUUGUUGUUGGGGAUAACUAUAGGUACAAAGUGAGUAGUAUGUAUAGGUGAUAAGAGCAUUCACAUCACUAGGGGUUAAGCAAAAGCUAAAUGUGCAAUGGUCUAUCCGGAACUGAAACCAAAAGGCCCGUGGGGUAAAGAGAUUAUAAGCUAAUAUGAUACAACUCUCACUUCGCCUACAAAUUAUUUAAUUUACCUAACAAUGUUUUACGUCUCAACUUUCAUGUGCUUCCAUAAAUGGAAUAGAAGUAAAAGAAUUCAUAUGGAAGAGAUUAAGGUGACGUGUCCACUUCUUUUUCAGGGGUUUACCACCAGUUUCUGGUAAUAUGUGUUACAAAUUCUAGGCCUACUAUUGGUGCUAAGUUUUUUUGCGAGAAGGUUUACAUCCCACAAAGUUGCUAAAACCAUCUUCGUAGUGCUUUACCUAUUGUUCAACACCUUGAGAUACAUAUACUCUUAGAUAUGACUAGAUACACCAAGGCUAUAAGCGCAACCUCCUCCAUCCACCCAUAACAAAUCUAGUUUUUUCAAAGGGUGAUAAACCAAGAAAACAAAAAUUCAACUAGUAACCCAUCCAUUGUAUUGCGAAUUUAUUAUGGUGUUGGUUACUCUAUGGCUCCUUAAAAAGAGAUAUGACAUAAUCAUGAAUAAAAUAGGAAGUAUAAUGCAUAACUUAAGAAAAUGGCGGUGCCCAGCAAAUAUUCGUGGGGGAGAAAAACUUCCCUCUUAAUUUUUUUGUCUAGUAUGUGUGAUAAGAGCGUCCGCAUCACUAGAUGUUAAGCGGAGCUAAAUGUGAGCUAAAGCUGAAAACUUCAUCAUGACACAUACUAUUUUAUUACCAUUAGAAAGUUUCUUAAUAAUGUUUUACGUGUCAACUUCUAUUUGCUUUCGAAGAUGGAAUAGAAGUAACAUAAGAGUCAUAAGGAAGAGAACAAAUUGACAUGUCCACUUCUACCGAAUGGUUCACCUCACGUUUCUGAUGAUUUAUGCUCAACCAAGCUUGGGUCCAGGAUUUUCCACCACUAGAUUUUCGCACUAUACCUCGUAGCGUUGUUAUCGUCUUUUUUUUUCUUAUUGCUUUAUCCUCUGUUUGCCCCGAGAAGCACAUUGAUCCUAGCUUCGACAACACAUGACAAGGUUAUAACCGAGCAGACUGUCCACCCAUAACCGAGUUUAUUAUUAUUUUUCAAGAAAAGGAGCAAAAAGCCAAGAAAGCAAAAUAGUUAACCCAGUAAUCCAUUGUGUACAAAUUCAUGGUGCCGGUCACUCCCAAUCUCCUUAGAAAUAUUAUCAUCUUUUCACCCUAAAGUUAAGUUUCGACAUCAGCCUCAAGUCUAGGUAAAGAAAGAGAAAUUUGGGGCCUUAUGCCACCUAUAAAAUGACCGUGGGGGUUUGGAUGUAUGACCUUAGAGUGGCAUAAAGAAAAAAAACAUCAAGUGUUGCUUCAAUACCGUCUCCCACAACGGGUGACGACCGACGGAAAGGGGUGUCUAAAUGAUGAAUGAAAAAGGAAGUAUAAUACAUAAAUAAGAAAGAGGGCGGUGCGCCACAAGCUAAGCAUUUGUGGAGGGGACAAACUUUCUGUCUUCGAGAAGCCAUCUUACACAAGUGAUAAGAGCAUCCACAUUACCAGGUGUUAAGCGAAACAUAAAGGCGAGUGAGUCCAUCCAAUCCUUAGCCCAAGCCGAAAGGCAUGUAGGAUGUAGGAAAAAAGAGGGAAAAAGCUUGUGUGUUACUAUUCUCACUUCAUGCUGACAUGCAUAAUUUUAUUUUUAGAUAGAAACACCUAACAAUGCUUUUGAGUCUCAACCUCCAUGUGCUCCGAAAGAUGGAAUAUAGGUAACAUAAGACGGGAAGAGGCUAAACCAAUGUGCCCACUUCCUCUUCGGGGUGUUCGUUUAUCAUCUAUUUCUGACCAUACGGGUUAUAUAUGCUCUCCAAGACCAACACCAUCAGUUUUUUCCCUCCUCCGUUCUUAGUUCAUUGGUCCUUAGUCUCGCGCUUUGAGAUGCAGACGCUCCUAGACGCGCCAAAUGCCAUAAAACCGCGACCCCUUGUCCGCGAGAGCCGAGAUUUUCAGAAGCACGAAAAGCGAAGAAAGUAAAAUACCAACGAAUAACCCAUUGUUUUAUGCGUUGUUAUUAUUAUUAUUAUUAUAUAAUACGGUGCGGGUCACUCUCGACCACCUUUAAAAGAUUACCAUCUUUUCACCCCUAUUAAAGUUGAAAACCCGACAUCGACCUCCAGCCCAGUCCAAGGUAACAAAAAGAUAGUAUUACAAGAAGAGAGAAAUUCCUGGGGGCCGUUUGGCUUUUAGCCAGCUGCUGCGGCCAGCGGCGUACGGCGACGGACGAGUCGGGAGAAAAGAUGCCAUUCCCGAUGCCAGGCCAGGCCCCCGGGCUGGCCGCAUCCGGGCCGCGGGGCCCGUCGUCAGGAGCGCCGGGAUGGGAUGGCUAGAUUCCCCUCGGAGUCCGCGCGCUGGCUCGGCUCAGAUGGGCCUGUGACGUCAACGCCCGCUGGCUCGUCUGGCCCCUGGCGGGGCCCGGCCCGCUGACGCGAUUCCACUGGUCGACGCCGUCCUUGUUGCGGUUAAACCCCUGUGGUUUGCUGGAAUUGCGUUUGGGACCUCGUACUGGUUAGUGGUAUAGCAGUGUACGACCGAUAGGUGCGGCUCGACUCGAACGUUGUUUGGUUGGUACCACUAGAGCUUAAUGCGUACACGUGUUAAACUUGGUCCGUCCAUGGCAAGCAUUAGUGGGGUACUAGUAUAUAGGCAUUCCUUUGACGAGCAACAUGCUCAAGUUCAUGUCAAAUAAAAAUUAAAAAACGUGCCAAAUAAAAAGGCUCCAAAUUCCUUUAAAAAAAGUUCAUGUCUAACAGAAAAAAACGUUCCAAAGUUGCCAAGUUGGUGCCCUCGCUUAUGACAAGAUUCAACAUUUUGGACAUUUUCGGUCGCUUAUGACAAGAUUAAAUGAAACAUGAUCCAUGCAUGGACGGUACACGAUCCUAAUUGCCUCUUACAAAGCCGGGACAAAAAGCCAAUGACCGUAUCUACAAAAUUUAACAAUUUGGACAUUUUCGGUUGGCACUAGCCUAGACGUGUGUGGUGUCAUCGUCUUUUUGGUGUGUGCGGCAUAUAUCUGUUGUCGGAGAUCUAAUUACCAUUUUCACUUUGGGUUUGGAAGAAUGGCCAGAUUGUCGCACAUACAUAUGCUUUCUACGUAAUUUUCAUGUGCUUCAUCGUUAAAAGAAAGAUACAAAUAUGGCUUUUAGUUAAGGCAGUGGCGUACAUGGAUCUGUAUCAUGCAUGUAUAAGCAAUAGUACAAUCAUUAACAUUGUCAUAAAUACAGUGUACCCUUCAAGCAUCUUGUUGUCCCUACGAUGAAAAGCGACGAGACGAACCGGAGAACCAAAAGUAUACAUACAUUCUUGACAAUGUUUGUCCAACUAAUACUAAUGCACCAACCAUGGAGCCAUACGACUUAUUUGAGUUAGAAACUUGUUAUAACAUCUUUCGAUGCAAAGCCAAUGUCUUGCUUUUUUACUAGUACAUGAGUAUUCAGCGAACGCCAGAUUUUUAGGCAUGACAAAUAGAAAAUGCCAAAUUACGUUUGCCGAGGGUAGCAAGUUUAGUUUGUGAGAAGUUAAAUUCGCCCUAGCUAAAUUUUUUUUGUCAGAAAACUAUCGUGCUCGUCAACUAAGUUUGUCAUCCCCGCGCCACUACAAACCGUCACCAAAAACCUUUUAGCAAUUCUGUUUUACCAAGGACCGAUCUGUUAACACCACAUCUCACUUCCCCGGAAAAAAAUAAAACCACACACAUAUUUCCAAUGAAAAAAAAAGCCAUCCUUCUUCCACGCGCUCACGUCGCCAAUCCUUCUUCCGUAUGCUCGGCAUGUAAACGCAAACCGGAGAGUUUGGGCCAUGGCGACCACGUCAGCGUCAGCAUCUCGCGUCCUCAUUCUACGCCUCCACCGGAAGGACACAACACACAAACGGGUAACAAACAAACCGAAAGAGCCGGCGCGGCACGUCGCGUCGCCAUCAACCGUGCACAAAGCCCAUCUUGCAAGAAAGAAAGCUACAUCCUUUGUAGCCACCCUCCCCUCACCAUUCCGGUCCAUACCUGGUCUUAUUUGGCGGGUUUUUUAAGUUUCAAAAAGGCACCACCAUGCCAUGCCAUGUGUUCCUUCUCCCUUGUGACAAGGAACAGGGUCAUUAACUAGUGUUCGCUCCAAGAGCCGCCACGGUCGAGAAGAGAGAAGAGAGAAGAUCGUGUGGCUCACUGCCAGGGACGUCUAUCCGCAAAAAGAAACAACCUCGAGGUGGUUUGUGAAAAUUCGCCAUCCCCGCAUCAACAGUACAGCGAGUACUAUAAACAGCAGCGGCCGCGUGCCAGCCGAAAGAGGGAGAGAGAGAGAGUGAAGAAGAAAAAUAAAAAAUAAAAAUAAUCUCUGCGUCUGCCUCUCUCGCGCUCGAUUCACACAGAGGCUCCUCCUCCUGGCUGCUUCUUCCUCAAUCCCCAAUCCGCCGGCCGACGAGGAACCUCCCAUGCUCCACGGCCCCAAGGCGGCCCCCCGGAUGACCCGCCGCUCCCCCUGCCGCUCCGCCUCCUUCGCCUGCUCGCUCAACCCCCCCGGAGCCGCCGCCGCCGCCCGCUAGUUGUCGCCCGGGGCGGCGGAAGAUCCGGCCUUGGCACCCCCGCCUCCGGCUUCGUCCCGCGAAGAGCUGAUCGUGGGGUGGAGGUCAGUGCGCCUCGCUUUCUCUGAUUUGUUCACGGGUUCCUCCCUUUCCUUUCUUGCUCGUCGAUGCGGCCGGCUAUCAGUUUCGGGAGGGGGAAUUCGGCCGCGAUCCCGACCGACCUCAUCUCCCCGUUCCGAUUAUCUUUGCCUUGCUCACUGCUUUUUUUUCUUUUGGAUUAUUAUCGAGGCUGCCGUGAUCUUGUUACCUCCAAUUUAUGAGCCGGUGACGACGCUCUAUUUUGUCUGUCCGCGUUCAUCCCUGGAAGAAAUUGGUUGUGUGUAUGUGGUGGCUUGUGCCAACGAAAAGGAAUGCCUUUUUCUUCUCUGUAGAAAUGAUUUGCCCCAUGAACAAAGCUGCAGCCUUGCCUGCUAAGGUUGCUUCAAUCUGGUUCCAUGAUGAUCGUUGAUGCCGCCUUUUUGGGACAAGGCUGCCCGUCCGUCCCCUCGUUUUCUGACUGGACGAGCCUUUGCUUGUUGGAUUAUUAGUACUAUCAGUAGGAGUAUUAUAGUCCUGCAACUUUUCCACCAUUUCUCCUCCUCGUGAGGCAGCCACUGACUCUGCAGGAAUAAUAAUCUCGCAACUUUUCCACCAUUUCUCCUCCUCUUGAGGCAGCCGCGCGCUAACCCUGCAGGAAAACAGGGUAGCUAGACCUAGAAACAGUUAUCGAUAUCUCUUGUUAAUAAUCCAGCUUCUGAAGUAGUGUAUCAUUUUUUUAGCGGACAACAGUAGGUGAGGCCCUAAUUUAACAAUUGAUACCGAGCACGUCAGCAGUUCGUAUCAAAUCAAAGAAAUUAAGGUGGAUAGCACCUGCAGUUAGUUCGCUCCCUGAACGGCCUCUCGAGCAUCAUCGGCAGUCAAGACGCAAUCUGCUAUGAAAAGCGUUUGAUUGGAUUAUGAGACCGUCGCAGCCUUUUUGUUUUGCUAACGUAUCAUGGGAGUAAUCAUAUUGAUAUUGGGUUGUUCAAUCAGUGUGCAACAAAUCAAAAAAGUGCUUUGAUCUUGCAUGUUAUUAGGUUGUUGAUUUGGUUGCUUAGACUGAUGAGAAGUUAUCUUAAUAAUAUCUUAUAAUGUGGUAGUGGUCCCUGGAGGAGGAUUGCCUACUAAUCUGUUAGUUUUCUCCGAUCUGUCCUUGUCAUCACUAGUAAUAGGGAGAGUGCUCCUAACGUGAUGACUCAAAUCACUCAUUUAUGUCAAGUCUGUCACCGGUCCUUGACUUUGUUGCGACCGCGCAAGAUUAGCCGUAUAUCACGCAUUUUCCGUUCUUCUUUUGGUGUUCAUGCCCUUAUGCUAAAAUCACUGAAUCUACUUGGUAGGGGCAGUGCUUUUGACAGAGAAUUUGAGCCCAACGGAUGAACAUGUGCGAGAAAGAUCAAAAUUUCCACUGGGCCUACGACCUUUUCCGUGACCCUUUUGCCGCUCCCAACAGCUACUAUGGACAUCCUAAUGGUUACAGUGACAACAGCUAUUGUGACUACAAUUAUGCUAGAGGUAGUUUUGUGGAAGGUCGUGCAAUUCUUUUGUGCAAAACUCAUGAUGAAAAGAAGGCAGUAUUCCUCAUGUGUAUGUUUUUUGCUUCUGCAGAUGCAUCACAUCCAGAUGAGACAUAUUUGCAUUCUUCCGCACUUACGUGUGAUAUGUACAACCCACAAGUAGGCAUGUACCAUCCUGGUAGUGAAAAUAUCCAUAGUCUGAUUCAGCCUUUACCUUUCGUAUUUUUGCUAUCCCUCUUAAUGUUUUUUGUAUGUUCCAGGAAAUGUUGGUGGGCAGGAGCAUGAGGCAGUCUAUGUAGAUCCAUCUAGUUCCUCUUCAUACCCUGGCAGCGACGACUGUUUUGAAAUGGAGGAAGAAGUAGAGAAGAGAUUUUACCCCAUGGUCCCAGUUCCUGUGAGUCUAUUAAUCCUCAGUAACUGUGUUGUUUAGCAAAGAUUGAUUUGCCUCCUUAGUAUCUAGAGUGAAUGAAGUUUUGCUUCCAAGGAAGCUUGAUAAGUCCCAUGUUUGCUCACUGACUAAAGUAACUACUAAGCAAUGGCCAAAGUAGGUAAGAUAAUUGACAGAAUACCUGUGCACAUGUAGCUAAAAUCUCAAUGGAAAACUGAUUGUGAAUACCACAUGCUUUAAUAGACAACAUGAUACGAAAUUCUUCGAAAAGUCUGUAAAUACAUUAAGUUGAAUUAAAUUCAGAUAUUCUUAACUCUGUGUUAAGCCAUGGCAUGUUUAAUUUUUGGCAAUGUCCAGAUGAAAACUGUGGCUUGGCUACCAGGUUCAGUUUAUAGAGUUUUGCAUACAAAUCUGUGAUUACUGCCUUCCUUAUAGUUUUGUGGGAAUAAAUUAUUACUCGUACAUUCAGUAUGAGAAAAAGGCUGCAAGUUAAAACUGCUAUUUGCACGAUUGAUCAGCAUUAUUUUCUUUUCCAAUACGUUUAUGCAUCUGCUAUUAUCUUCAGUUCCAUUACACUUACAAACUAUGAUUAAACAAUCUGUUUUGCCUUCUCCAGCAUGUCCCUAAAAUUAAUGGUGAAAUUCCAUCACUUGACGAAGCCACCAUGGACCAUGAAAGGCUGUCCGACAGGUCUGUCUUAAAUCUCAAUUCUCAUGGGUUCCUUUUGUUAGUAAAUGCCGUGGAAACAUUGAAUUUUAUGAGGGAUCAGAUGUACUAGAAUAAGUUUGAUAGUGUUUCUUCUCAACUUUCUAAAAUAAAGUGUCCAGGUCUAGUUCAGUAUUUUUUACACGUAUAUUUUUGUAGGUUGAGGCUGUAUGAACUAACUGAGAACAAGGUGAAGGGUGAUGGCAAUUGUCAGGUUUGUACCUAGUGCCAUCCUCACCUGAAUACUUAGUUUUAUUUUGUUCAAAUAUGCAUUGUGGCAGCAGUAGUUGGGUCAGUUCUCUGAGUUAUUCCAUCAUUCAUGACUUACUGUUAGACCAUGUAGUACAUAAGCCACAACCAAUUGAUGCUAAUCUAACGUUCUCAAUUCCACAGUUCCGUGCACUAUCAGAUCAGCUGUACCAAACUCCGGACCACCAUGAGUUUGUGAGGGAGCAGAUAAUUAGCCAGGUAAUCAACACUAGUAAUCUUUCUUUCGCGAAUCGUGAUCCUUAGCUUUGUUCUUUGUUUUCACACUUUCAUCUUUCGUCUGAUAAAUAAUCGGUUUCCAGCUUAAAAGUAACCGGGAAGCCUAUGAUGGAUAUGUCCCCAUGGCAUAUGAUGAGUAUUUGGACAAAGUCUCACGGUAAGCUCAACAGUCAAAAACUGUUCAUGGCUAGUACAAAUUAGUCACAUGUGAAUGCUGCCCCAACUAAUAUCUUGGUGCAUAAACUGACAGAAAUGGUGAAUGGGGUGACCAUGUGACUUUACAGGCUGCUGCUGACAAGGUGCUUAUAUUUGUCUCACUCAUGGGCAUAAACAUAUAUCACAGCUGGCCGGGGCUGUACUUUACUAAAUCUCAUUCUAACGCAAUUUGACAAAUCUGCUGCAGUACGGAGUGAAGAUUUUCGUCAUGACCUCGUUCAAGGAUACGUGCUACAUCGAGAUCCAACCCAAGGUUCAGAAGUCCAACAAAGGUAUGCAGAUGAUUAAUUUUCUUUACAGUUCCAAGUGGAUGGUCUUGAUACUUAACUAUACGCUUGACUGACUGUUUUCCUUCCGAUUGAUCUCAGUGGUGCUAUUGAGCUUUUGGGCGGAGGUUCACUACAACUCGAUAUUUCCACAGAACGGUGAGUAGCAUGCCUGCCUGCCAUUGGCAUACAUGCAAUGCGUGUCCAGUCCCCGUCGCAAACGUAUGCAACCAACAUUCCACACUGACACCGCGAUCUCUGCCUGAUAAUAAAUAUUAAUCGCUGAAACCCUCUCUUUCCUAUGGUUUUGGUAACAGACGCUCCGAGGUUGCACACGGCGAAGAAGAGGAGAUGGUGGCCGUUCUCACAGCACCACCAUUGAUGAGGCUCUCUUCCCUGGCCUCGGCGCGUGUACUCUGACGGCGUUCCGGCGUGCAAAGCACUCUCGUUUCUCCAUCGAGAUGGCCCGGGGGGGUGCACUCCUGGUCCCGGGAGGGGUCGUCGCGGUGUGCGCUCUGACGGGAGGAGAGAAAGAAAAGGCGUUAUGGUUGUCUGAGAUAAUAUUAUAGAUACAUGGAAUGGAAGGAAUAAUGAACAUGCGACCUGUCCCGUAUAUAGUUUUGGGUCGCAUUGCAUGCUCUGUUAUGUAUUUACAUACAAAAUUUUGCCGGAAUGAGGCUACAUACAGUUAAUCAUUCAUUUGGAAUACAAAUGAUAUGGAUGAUGAUACUAAUAAAUAUCUGGGUUGGAGGCA